Molecule: long non-coding RNA, 65077 nt
Filed under: Glycine max (soybean)
Lineage: Eukaryota; Viridiplantae; Streptophyta; Magnoliopsida; Fabales; Fabaceae
Description: long non-coding RNA (GMAX_LNC003590)
Source: RNAcentral
UUUUUUUUUUUUUCAGUUCACCCCAAUUUUUAUAAAAAUAAAAUGAUAAAAAUACUCUUGGGUCUUGAGAAUUAAGUUUUGAUUAUAUAUAUAUAUAUAUAUAUAUAUAUAUAUAUAUUGACAAAAGCAACCUCACGGCUGAUUUUUGUUUGAUUCUUUAAUUUUCUAGUUAUUUAAUUUAUUAAUGAACCAAUAAAAAGUUCUCAUAGCCUCCUUUGAAUUCGUGUAAAUUCGUGCAUGGUAUUGCCAUAACAUAAAGCACUGCUCCAAUAGAAAUCUAUGAAAAAUUGCGUGGUACUCACCAAUAUAUAGUUUUUUACAACACGUGACACAAGAUUUGCAUGAGACCAAUAUGUUUAGGUUGUUCCAUGCAAAAUUCAUAGGUCCUAAGUUACAUCCACAAAAAACUAUAACGUUCCAACUCUUGUUCCCUCCCUUUAAAUGUUGUUCCCUUCUCUUUGAAACCUCUCUUCAGUUUUAUUUCAUUUCAUCAUAUCGUCGCGACCCUCUUCUUUCCACUCUACUCCUUGCUCUCAAAUCUUCAUCUUCUGUCUCCUGCUGCAGGGUCAUUCAUGCCCGAGUGAUCAAAUCACUGGAUUACAGAGAUGGGUUUAUUGGUGAUCAAUUGGUUUCGUGUUACCUUAACAUGGGGUCCACCCCAGAUGCACAGAAGCUGUUUGAUGAAAUGCCCCACAAGGAUUCUAUCUCUUGGAACUCAUUGGUUUCUGGGUUUUCAAGAAUAGGAGACCUUGGUAAUUGUUUGAGGGUGUUUUAUACAAUGAGGUAUGAAAUGGCAUUUGAAUGGAAUGAGCUUACACUCUUAUCUGUUAUCUCGGCUUGUGCCUUUGCGAAAGCCCGGGAUGAGGGCUGGUGUCUUCAUUGUUGUGCAGUGAAAUUGGGUAUGGAGUUGGAGGUUAAGGUUGUUAAUGCUUUUAUUAACAUGUAUGGGAAGUUUGGCUGUGUUGACUCUGCUUUCAAGCUGUUCUGGGCACUGCCAGAGCAGAAUAUGGUGUCGUGGAAUUCAAUGUUGGCUGUUUGGACACAAAAUGGAAUCCCUAAUGAAGCCGUUAAUUAUUUUAAUAUGAUGAGAGUCAAUGGACUUUUUCCCGAUGAAGCCACCAUUCUGAGCUUGCUUCAAGCCUGUGAAAAAUUGCCUUUAGGAAGAUUGGUAGAGGCCAUACAUGGAGUGAUCUUCACCUGUGGUCUUAAUGAAAAUAUAACGAUUGCAACCACCCUUUUGAACUUGUAUUCAAAGUUAGGGAGAUUGAAUGUGUCUCAUAAGGUCUUUGCAGAGAUAAGCAAGCCUGAUAAAGUGGCAUUGACUGCCAUGCUUGCAGGGUAUGCCAUGCAUGGGCAUGGGAAAGAAGCAAUAGAGUUCUUUAAAUGGACUGUAAGGGAAGGUAUGAAGCCUGAUCAUGUUACAUUUACUCAUUUGUUAAGUGCUUGUAGCCAUUCAGGGCUUGUCAUGGAUGGAAAGUACUACUUUCAAAUCAUGUCUGAUUUUUACAGAGUUCAACCCCAAUUGGAUCACUAUUCAUGUAUGGUUGAUCUUCUUGGCCGCUGUGGUAUGCUCAAUGAUGCUUAUCGUCUGAUAAAGAGCAUGCCAUUAGAGCCAAAUUCUGGAGUUUGGGGUGCCCUUCUUGGUGCUUGUAGGGUUUAUCGUAACAUCAAUCUUGGGAAGGAAGCUGCAGAGAAUUUGAUUGCACUAAAUCCUUCAGACCCUAGAAAUUAUAUCAUGCUUUCCAACAUAUAUUCUGCUGCAGGUCUGUGGAGUGAUGCAUCAAAAGUGAGAGCUUUAAUGAAGACUAAAGUUUUUAUUAGAAACGCUGGAUGCAGUUUUAUUGAGCAUGGGAAUAAAAUCCAUCGUUUUGUGGUAGAUGAUUAUUCUCACCCUGAUUCAGACAAAAUACACAGGAAGCUGGAAGAGAUUAUGAGAAAAAUUAAAGAGGUUGGUUUCGUGUCUGAAACUGAAUCCAUUCUCCAUGAUGUUGAUGAAGAGGUGAAAACAGAUAUGAUUAACAAGCACAGUGAGAAGAUAGCACUUGCAUUUGGACUUUUGGUUAGUAAUGCUGAUAUGCCAUUAGUUAUAAUAAAAAAUCUCAGAAUAUGCCUGGAUUGCCACAACACCGCAAAAUUUGUCUCACUGAUAGAGAAGCGUACAAUCAUUAUCCGAGAUUCAAAGCGAUUUCACCACUUUUCAGAUGGAUUAUGCUCUUGUGCUGAUUAUUGGUAGUGAUCUCUGAAGGAGUUUGGUGUUGCAGGAAUGAUACUGUCAUUGACCAUAACUUAUACAAACACGUAGUAAUAAACUUGAUUCUAUAUCAUGAGCAUAAUUCAUUCUGUAUAUUCAUAUUCAGUUCUUCCUUCUAACCUAAAUGUGCUCCCAUUUUGUAAGUUGCUUACCCAAUACUACAUGAGAAACCAACUUGAAAGCUUUUAAAUCAAAUUCAUUUUCUAUUUGGUAAAUUAUAAAUUAAAAACACUACGAUUAAUCAUCACGUUCCCUUAGUUUUUCUUUUCUUUUCUCUAUGACUGUUUUAUGACCUUUUUAUACGUUGUUAUAAUUUCAAAUCUUUAUUGAAGUUUCACAUCUUUCAGAGAAAGUCAUGGAAAAGGAAGUGAUAAAAUCUCAACUUUGUAAUGAGUUAUCCUUUGUAGACUAUUUAUGAGAAACAAACUUUGCCAAGGAUAUGACAUUUCUUUGUCUGGAAAAUGGCAUACAAAAAUCAAUUUUCUUCCCUAUUUAUAAAGAUUUAUGAUAUUUUCCGGAGAGUUUCAUGGUUUUCAGUCUUCGAAGACCAUUGAUUCUGGCGGAAUUGUGAAGAAUUAAUGCAUGUGCAGAGGUAUUUCAUUUUUUUUUAGUUGUGUGUUUCUAUUUCCUCUUCUUUUUCUCUCCUUUCAUCUACACAUUCUCUCUUUAUUCCCAGGAAAUAAAAGGCUUGUGGUGGAAAAAUGCAAAGCAGAUGGAAUAGUUCUAAAUUCUAAAUAGUGUAAAUGACGAAAGAUAAAUUUCUUUUGACUAUUUUGAGAAGUUGUAGUAGUUAAUGUUAAAUUUAAUGAAAUACAUUGUUGUUGAGUUUGAGAUACACAUUACAUUAGAGAAGUGUUGAGUUACUUUACUCAGCCACACAUUGUAUAUAUUUAUAUAAAACAGAAAGAGUACAAUAAGAAAGAAGAAACGACACGUUCAGAAUAGGGAACCUGCUCCUAGUUAGGCUUUUUAGAAUACACACUAAAAACAGUCUUUUCUAAACCUUUCAAGACUAUUCUUACAAAGAUACAACUAGCUUAUAUUGUAACAAAUGUAACCACAAACAGCUAUAAAGCUUGAAGUUAAUAUGUAAAAAAAAAUAGUUUAGAGAAGUGGAGAAACCAGUUUAUACAACACCGUAGUGGCUAGAGUAAAUUGAAAAUUGAUGAUGUGUGAACUUCAGAUAUAUUUUUUAAAAUAGUAAGCUAUAUUCCCCAUAAGGAUAGGAUUACUUACGAGUUUUGAUAAGAAGCCUAUUCGGUAUUUGCUUGAUCAUCUGCCCACCUUCCCCAACUGGGGAAUUAAAAUGUGUGCAUGCAGGAUGUACCAUCACUAUUAUGUAUGAGACAUUAUUUGUAGCAUAGUGCAUAUCUGGAACCUUUAUACUUGCCUUUGUUUAUGCUAAUAGUAUACUGCUGAUAUACCUUUAUCUGUUAUCUGGUCUUACUAAAUAUUUAAAAUUACAAGCCACAUUUAUACGCAGUUCCAAACAAAACGGGAAGAUGUCUGAUGCUGUUUAGCCUACUGGACCUAUCUUGUUAAAGCCUUGAGAACAAUAUUUUAAGUAUCCUCAUAUUUUUGUACAUCAAAAGUUAUCUAUGCUGGAUGUACCAUAAAAAAAUUCUCUCUUGUGAGAUUUUCAUAUGACAAGAACAUGUGAAGAGAUAAAAGCAGACACCAUGUCAAAAUUUAUGGGACCUUAUUUAAGUUUCUUGUAUUUAUCUUUUUCUUCAGUCUUCGCAUGACCUUGUCAUGUAAAAAUGUCACAUGAGAGGAUUCAUUUCCCUUUGUUAUGCAGGUAAUUGUUCUGUCUCGUUCUUGACAAACGAGCAAUACUAAGCAGAAAAAAAUUGACAGAUGAUGGUAGUUGGAUAUGUUAGAGUGGAGGGAGCCACUCACUUGCUUUGAAUUGAUAACAAUGUCAACUCAUUAUGGCAAAAGAAUUCUGGUUAAUAAUUGUUUUCCUCAGUAAUUUUGCAGAAUGCCAGUGCAGCAGUUGAACCACAAGCAGAAAGUACUCACAAUCAUCUUCAGUUUAGAACUCUGGAGGGCCAACAAACAGAAUAUCCAUGUUAGUAUGUUACAAUUAUUACAGCGUGAUGAAAAUUGGCAAUGGUUAGUUAAUGGUUCGUAUCUAAAAUGGAACGGACUCUGAGCUGUGGCCUUAUGGCUACAAAUAUGAAGUUUGACUCAAAAUACUGCUGUUUUUGGCUCUUUAUUCCAAAGCAUUCUCUUCCUUUCUUUCAAUUUUUCCAUUUGUAUGAACUAGUAAAACAUGAAAAUGUUAGGAUUGGUAGUCAAAUUUGUACAGUAAUUUACAUCCUCCUUUACUUGGUCCUUGUAGGCCUCUUAUUAGCAGUUAAGAAUAGAUAAUUUGACUGUGCUAUACAAGCAGAUAACCAGAAGUAUUGAUGAAAAAAAAUCAAAUUUUUGGGACCUAUGAAUUUUGCAUGGAACAACCUAAACAUAUUGGUCUCAUGCAAAUCUUGUAUCACGUGUUGUAAAAAACUAUAUAUCGGUGAGUACCACGCAAUUUUUCAUAGAUUUCUAUUGGAGCAGUGCUUUAUGUUAUGGUAAUACCAUGCAAGAAUUUACACGAAUUCAAAGGAGGCUAUGAGAACUUUUUAUUGGUUCAUUAAUAAAUUAAAGAACUAGAAAAAUUAAAGAAUCAAACAAAAAUCAGCCGUGAGGUUGCUUUUGUCAAAAUAUACAAUCAAAACUUAAUUCUCAAGACGCAAGAGUAUUUUGUCAUUUUAUUUUUAUAGAAGUUGGGGUGAACUUAAAAAAAAAAGGAGAGAAUGUGAGCCUUGUACAUACUUCUUGUGAGUUAUUUUCACACAUGAAAUGGUCUAUAAAUAAAAUCAAUCUACACGCAUAAACAAAAACCAGAGUACACAAACAAAAUCAUUUCCUUUAUUCCGUGUGUGCAAAGAGAAGGAAGCUGUUAUUUUGUAAAACGCUUCAGUUGAUAACAUCUGCUGGGCACGAAUAUCCAAAGCAAUUCUCAUUCUUUGAAGAAGGUAUGCUGCUGAAAAGUCACAAUAACAUUCAUGUUGUUCAUCAGAAACUUAAUCGUGUAAAUUAAGACAGCUUGUGAGGAUGAGUAGCCUCACAGCUUUUAGAGAUCAGAUCCAAGGCAAUGUUAUGGAGUCAGAUUCUCAUAUCAAUUUGUGUAGCAAAUGGACUAAGCUAGAUAGAACCAUAAUAAUUUCCUUAUAUAGGUGCGACAGGUCUGAAAAUUCACUUGAUAAAGAAUAUCAGUUAUAAGAAAAAUUUUGUAUUACAAUAUCUUAUCUUAUAUCUCUAUGUCAAUAAAAUAUAAUCUUAUUCUCAAUUUACUAUAUCUUAUUAGUUACUGUACUGUUAUCGAAAAAUCUUCAAUUAAAUCUUGUCCAUUGUUAUCUAAUCCUGUUAUCUUGUAAUUAAUUGUCAUGAUAAGAUAAAAUUCCUUUUUGGAAGGAGUCAUUAGAUAAUUGAAGUUUACAAUAUUUGUUUUAAAGUUAUAUUUAUGAUUAUUUGUAAGUAUAAAAAUCUUAACGUUAAAAUUUGAAAAUAUAAAAAAAAUGUUUAAAAAUCUUUACCGAAUGAUUAUAGUUUUAUAUUUUUUAGAGGAAAAAUUAAUUGAGAGACCCAAUAUUAAUAUGGGAGGAGUGGAGUACAAAUAUAGGGCACCUUUACUCGGUGAUCACGUCAUAUAUUCAAAUUAAAGGUGGCAAACUGGAGGAUAAUCAAUUAGGAUCAUUAAUUUAUAGUUCUAUACUAUAAAUAAAAGAAAUAACUCUUGAUCUCCACAUUUUUCUUUUUCAUUUUAUCCUUAAUAACUACGUAUAUACACUUAACUGGCUGUAGCAAUUAUAAAAAAUAACUCUUCAGCCAUAGUUAUUUACAUUUUUAAUCCUUUUUAAUUAAAAAUUGCAACUACAUAAACUUAGGUAUCUAUCAAUAUUUUUGUUUUUCAUUUGAAUCAAUGCUUUUCCACUUGACGAGAUUGCAAACAGUGAAAAUCUUUUUUUCAUGUAAAGGUAUUUAUUUAUUUUAUCGAUGAGAAAUUUUUAUCGAAAAAUUUGACGGUAAAUCUUCUUUUUUAAUCAUAUUUUUCUUAUAUAUAAGAAUCAAACUCAAGAUCUUUGUCAAGAGAUUGAAGCUCAGUUCUAAACGAAAUGUGUUGGUUUAAUUUAUUUUUUUUGUAUUUAAAUCAUUUAGAAAACUUACAUGUUUUGCUUUUAACUAUAAAAAAUUAUUUAGUAAUUAAUUUUUAUACCAAUUCUAUAAAUAAAAAUUAUUUUAUGUAAUUUAUACAAAUUAUGUAGGUUUAUUUUAAUAUAUAAAUUAUACAAUUUUUUAUUCUAAUUAUAUAAUUAAUAAAAUUUUAGUAUCCAAUUUUUUAAACUAUUUAAAAGGUGGACCAAAAUUAUAUUUUUGCCUUUGUAUUAACAAUUUAUAUAAAUAAUUUACAUAUUAAUUUAUAAAUAAUUUACGUAUUAAUUAAUUUAUGAAAUUUAAUUUUAAAUUGGUACAUCUAACAGAGUAAUUUAUGGAUUGAUUGUGAUUCCUAUGUUGUUAUCCAAGCCUUUAAGAGUCCCUGCAUUGUUACUUGGAAUUUGCCAAUGGGCGUUAGCGCAAGCACUGCUAGGAUUUUUUUUGUUUAAAUAUUUUAAAAUAUAUUACUUGUAACAAAGUUAAUUGUCUCACUUUUACAUGUGUAAGGAUUAGAUUAAAAUUUUAUUCUUUUAAAAAUUAAAUUAUCAUUAUUUUACAUAUUUAAAGAUCAAAAUAAUUAUUUAUCUUUUAAUUUUUUAUUUUUUUUUUAUUUUUAUAUAAUGUCUAAGUAAUGACUAAUUCAUAUGAGGAUUCCCGUCAAACAACCCAUACUGAGAUUAGGGGUUCACACUUAUGACUUGAUAUUUUUUCUGAAUUGUUUAAUUCUUUUCUUAUCCUUCUUACGUUCCUACACAAAAUCUUUCAAAUAAGUUUGCUUGGAAGCUCAAAAUUUCUAGAGAAUGAUUUAGUCAUAUGUACAUAUUGGCUCGCAGAUUACUUUUCCAGUUAAUAGCUGGAUUUUAUUUCACACCUGAUUUUUUUUUCUUUUUGUUUUUUGAUAGUAUAUGGCGUCAUUUUCUUUGGGAAAUUUCACUGAAAGCUCAAAUAAAACUAACAUUGACUCCAUUGCUUUUGGGACAUUAUAAAUUUCAUUUCGGUGACUAUGAAUCAGGGCAUGCAUGUAUAUUAUUUUGAUUUGAGGCUUUCAGUUUCUGCUUUAAGAGAUGGCUCGGACUAGUCUUUCUUCUAUAUCAAUACCUUUUCUUAUUUUGCUGAUAUUUGCCUUUACUUUCUUUGCACAGCUUGCUCCAGUUAGUGCAGGUUUGUGAUCUAUCUCAUUCAAAUAUGUACAAAAGCAUGUGUGUAGAAUUGUAGAAUCACAAUCACUAUUCGAAGUUCCACUACCUUAUAUUUAUUAUUUGGUUUAGUCCAUGUAGGGGUUUAAUAUGUAAUUUUUUUAUAUCUUUUUUUUAUCAAUAAAUAUUAAUAAUUAAUAUAUUAUGUUAGUUUUUUUUGAAAGCUUAAGACUUUAGGCAUGACAAUCAAACUUGUACUCAUGGGUAUCCGUUCUAAUUUUGAUAGAGAAUAUCCAAGUUGAUCAGGUGCGAGUUUAGGAAUUAUUUGACCUUUUUAAUUGGGGUUGGAAACAGGGAUGUCAUUACCUGUUCCAUACUCAUUUUCGUACCCAUCCACUGAUGAAGUUAUUAAAAUUUUAUUAAUUACUUGUUAAUUUUUUUUAUAAUUUUUACAUAAUUUAAUAUUUUUUUUCUUUAUGCUUUUUGUAGAUAAAUGUGAUGCAAGUACAAGUAGUUAAAAAUAAAUGUGUAACAAUCAUUUUUAUAAUUAGAUUUUUAAUAUAAUUAAAAAAAACUUUUGUACAAAUCUAAACCGGGAACAAACGAGGAAGGAAAUACCCAAUACCGAACGAGUAGGGAGAUGGGAUAACAAAUUUUAACUAUAUAUUAGGGAUGGACACGAAUAUAGGUUGGGAAGCCAUGAUCGGAAACGAGAGAGGCAAUACCCGUCCCGAUCCCCGCCGUUGCCACAUCUAUAUGACUCCCAGCAUAUAAAAGUUAAACACUGAUGAAUGUAGAAACAUGUACAUCAUGAACAGGUAACAUUUAACAUCUUGUUAUUUUAAAUUGCAGAUCCGAGAAUGAGAAAAUUGGGUCCCGGGCCAAGUCCACCUCCUCCACCAGGGCGUAACCAUGGACUUUCACCUUUUUUUCCAAAUGCUCCUCCUCCUCCACUCAUUUAAACUAAUUUUUAACUGUCAGGUAUAGACAGUUAUGUGUGUGUUUGGAUUCUCCUUAAUUUCUGAUCCACGUUUCAACCAAGAUUUUACGUAUAAAUCGCACUGUAUCCCAAGUGUAGUACUUAUGUACAAUUCGAUUCCGAGAAAAUUAAAAGGCUUUUUAUUUAUUAUUUUACUUUUCUGUACAUUAAUAAGUCUAACAUCUCACACUAUACAUUAGUAAUAUGAUUAAUUAAUUCAAUAUAUACUGACAUAAUUAGUAUCGAAUAAGAUAGUCAAAUAGUUAAGAAAAUGGGGACAAAAAUAGAUUAAAGUUAUAUGAUAAUUAAAUAGUUAAGGAAAUGUAUAAAAAGAUAACCCGCUUCAGCAUUUAAUUUUAUUGGUCUUAUCAUUUCACAUAAAUUUAAAUACUUUACACAAAAAUUCACUCUAAUAUUAAGAAUGUUAAAAUGAGUGAUUAAUUUUAUUUUUGUAGGUCGUAUAAUACUUAAAAAAUAUAUUAUUUAUACAAUAAAUGUUUUAGACAAUAGUUUUUUUUUAUGUCAUCUAUUUAAAUGGAAAAAAAUUAAACAACAUUACAUAAAAUUAAAUAAUUCAUGUAAGUACUCAACUAUUGAUGCUCUUAUAGAACAUCCAACAAUGUCUUAUUAUUACUUUAUUUUGGUAGAAUUAUAAAUUGACAAUCGUUGUUUAUUCUUAUUUCUAAGGCGAUUGAUGUUCUUCAGAGUCAAAUAAAAAAGUUGUUGCAUUAUUCCGUGAUGGACUAUUUGCAAAUAAAAAAGUUGUUGUGCGAUGAGUUGAUAUUGCGAGUGUUAGUGUAUGCUGGGCCAUGAAGAAGGGUGGGACAUUUUUGUCCAUUGAGCUUUCUAUGGGAUGUGCAGGAAGCAAAAUAAAGAGGUGCAGGAAGCAAUUACCAAUAAUUGAUUGAGAUUUUGUAUACAGAAGCCACAUUUGUAAUAACCCAAAUUAUUCACUCCUCUAUGACUCACUAGAGCUUUGAGAGCGUUUUUUUUUUUUUUUUACAAUUUCUCUUCAUUUCUUAUCUUUUUAAACUCUUUUGUAGUAUCUUAAAUUUUAAUUUAAACUUCAUUAUAUUUUUAAAAAUAUAAAUAAUUAAGAAUACAUUAUAUUAUAAUUAAAUAAAUAAUUAUAUCAUUUUAUGUCACUAUACAUUUAUCAUACAAUUUAUCAAAUACUUUCAAUUUAAUCAAUUAACUUAUAAGUUUUUAGUUUUUCAACUCACUUAUCAGCUCUAAACAAGUUAGUUUUAUCAAAUACACUCCUAAUUUAUUUUUUAAAGAAUUCAAUGGCUUGAUUCAUUUAAAUUUUUUUAUCAAAAAAUAACAUAUUAAAAUUUUAUUUUGAAUCAAAAUCACUCCAUAUUUACAUAGAGUUUUAGUUAAUCAACCAAGUUGUUGGUCCAAGUAGAGUUAUUAGUCUUCUUAAGCAAUGUCUCAUAAUGACAUAUAUAUAUAUAUAUAUAUAAUUAAAAGAAGAAAUUCUACUAAAAAUAAUUAGAUAAUUUUUUUUACCAAAGCUUAAUUAUUAACAAAAAUAAUAAAUGCUCAACAUUGAUAUUACAGUGACAAAAAAGUGUUUUUUUUUAAUUAACUUUUGUUUGUUUUUGAAAUUUUGGAAAGAGAUUAAGCACAUUUCUAAUCCCGUAAAAUAACACUUUUCUAAUUUAAUUUAUUGUGAUUAAAUUAAUUUAUUCACUUGUUAACAUAAAAUCCUUCCAUUAUAUCAGCCUAUUAUAUUUAUCUAUUUACCUAUUUAUAUUGUUUUAUCAUAAGUAAAUUAUAAAGAUGAUCAGUUAAAUUCGAAAAUGAAAAUAAUUAAGAGAAAAAAAUUAUGUAUGAUAAAUUUGUUAACUUUUAAAAUAAUUAUCUUAAAGCAAUUUAAAUAAUGAUUUAUAAUUAUCUUAAAACAUUAAACUUAAUGAAUAAUUGUUAAUCCUCCAACCAUAUUCUCCUACAAAUUCCCCUACUAUCUUUUAUACUAAGUUUUAAAUAUAUUUUAUACUUCCAUCAUAAUAAAUGUUUUUACUUUUCAUUUAAUACUUAUCAUAAAAAAUAAUAAGACAAUUUAUAAGAAAAUAUAAUCGAAAGAUUAAGAAUUAAAAAAAUCAUCGCAAAAUUUAGCGCAUGUAACGAUUGAAGAACUCAAAAUUAGGGAAAAGUUUACCAAGCUCUAUAAUAAUAAUACCGUAAGCAAAGCAAGGGAAGCAUGCGUUUGCUCCCAUUGAAGUGGCACAUCCAAUCACUACUGAUUCCCACUUCCAUCCAUCUUCGCUUUCAAAUUUUCCCGAAGCUGCAAGUUCCGUGAUUGCAUGUGGGAUGUAGAAACCUUUUUUCUUUAUUUCUCCACCGUCCUUUCUUUCUGAAAACUACAUCCUCUUCCCACUUAUGUUGUCCGCCUCUGUCAUGUUUGUACCAACAUCAAUGCUGUCCUUCUUCAUGGUAUAACAUUUAUUGAAUUUGCUACGGCUCAUUUUCGCAACAAUCAUUUACUUAUUUACAGAGUCUACCGUGCGAAAGUGAAACUACUUUCACACCGUAAGUUAAUGAAUUAAAUGAUUUUUUAAUUUGGUGAUGAUUAAUCUAAGUUGUACAUUUGGUUUUUAAAAAUAUCAAGGGACAUGAUAUGGUCACGGCUACCGGUUUGGUCAAGUCUCCUAGCCAAAUUAUUAUCAUCAUGAAGGCGACAAAGGCCAUGCUGGAGAGGAGCACUCGUAGCGAGACGAAGGGGCUCUUGUGAAUGUGGCUGUUGACGUCGACGGCGGCGAGUGCAAUGGCAAGGGCAAGGAGGAUCCAUGCAUCAACAUCGUUGAACGCUGCGACGGCCAUGGCAGUGUCGCCGACGCGAGGAGUGAGGAGCUUGAGCUCGGUUAGGAUGCAUGCUAGGACGGGGAAGGGUAUGAUGGAAAUCGUGACUCCCAUGAAGAUGAGGAACCGCGAGAAACCAAAUUCGUUGAUUCCGGCAACGGUCUUGCGAAGGAUUAGGGCAAGGCCGAUGCCGAAGAUGUAAGGGAGGGACAUUUUGCCGACAGCAGGGCUCAAAGCUCUUUUUCCGCUCCGGCGAAUCGUGACCAAGUCGAGCUCGAGAAUAGAAGAAGAAGAGAAGACAUAUGCUUGCCAUUGAUUCCAGCAACAAUGUGCUCUGCGGUUCUAAAAAAAAUAAAGCAGGUAACAAACCGGUAGCCGUGACCGUAUCCUGACCCUUGAUUUUUUUUAAAAACCAAACGUACGGCUCAGAUUAAUCAUCACCAAAUUAAAAAAUUAUUUAAUUCACUAAUGUACACUUUCGCACUGUAGACUUUGUCUUACUUAUUGGGAUUGACUUUUUUUCAUUAGAAAAAGAUUAUUAUAGUAUUUUUGUUUUCUUCUUUAUUUUGUGUAUAAAGGCAAUAUAAUGUUGUCCAUGAUUAUUGAAUGAUGCUCAAGGACAAAGUGUUGAAUGACUUGAGACGUGUGUUAGACACACCGGUCGAAAGGAUUUAUCUGCAUAGAGCACAAAUCCCUUAAGAUAUAACAGGUCAUUUUCAUAAGACAAGGAACAGAAACCAACAAGCAAAAAUAUAAAAAGAAAGAGAGCCCAAAGAGAGGAGAGAAAAGAGUUUUUGGUGUGUCGAAAGCUAAUGCAAGGGGGAGGUAUUUAUAGGACUGGAAUGAGUAAGAAAACGGUAAAGGAAUCAAGAAAUUAAAUUACCAUUAAAAUGUUUUUAACUGUAAAGCAGUCACAAACUAAAAAAUGAUUAGUAUAGAUAAACGAAAAGCGUGGCAUUUUUGAAAUUAGGUCAUACUAAAAUCUGGGGCAUUAAAAUUGCCAUAUAAAAUAUUCCAACAAUCCCUUUUACUCGUGUGCAAGGGGGGAACCAGACGAUUUGCACUACAUCGAACCAACAUGGUCCGAUCUCAUGCACACAAGAUUCAUGCCUCUUGUUAGCUAGUUUAGACUUUCUCAUCACAUGUUGAUAUAUAUACUUUGUAGGAAAGGCUAAACUAUACAAUGUGGGACAUGAAACCUUUUGAAAUACCUCACAAAACCACAACAAUCCCCCACAUAUUUCAAAAUGUUUUUUUAAAAAGAUUUUUAAAAGGAAAAGAAUAGAAGAAAUAAAGUUUUUGGGUUUUCAUUAAGGAUAUAAUGUGUCAGACCUAGUGUUGCAAGCUAUAUGAACCAGUCCUAGACUAGUAGGACUUAAUACAUAGUGUAGUUGGUGUAGCAAGUUAUAUGAACCAAAAAUGUUUUAUGUGUGUUAGCGGUCUACCAAUCACAUUACACCUCCACAAUUCUUGUCGUUAUUGUUGUUUUGCGCUAAUAAGUCAUGCACACGCCUAGUAUUCAUGAGUGCUCUAGAGUUUUUGUCACAAUCUCAUGCAAGCAACCCCACUUGACACUUAUAUAGUUGAUUUCAUCAAGUGUAUAUUGCAGAUCAUACACCACCCAUAAAGGAUAUGAAAGUCAUUAAAAGCUUCAAGGUUAGCCUCUCUCUAAUACAAUAUCUAGCACUUUUCACACCAUAGGAGUGGACUAAAAUUAAUUUAACUUUAGCCUUAGCAAAACUAACAAGUGACUUGUUCUUACCCAUAUGAACCUUCUUCAUGGGAUCUGCAAUUACAAAGGUUGGGUUACCAUCACUUGUUUGUUUCAAGUGGUCUAAGUCUCAUUCCCCUCAAUGUUUUCUAUAUCAAUUUCUUCCCUAGGGGUUUCAUCCAAGGAUCUGCCAAAUUUCCUUCUAACUUCACAUAGUCAAUGGAAAUUGCUCCAUCCUAUAGCAUCUGUUUUACCACAUUAUGUCUCAAUUGUUUAUGUCUAUUUUUUCCAUUAAAGGUUUUGUUUUUCACUAUGGCUAUCGCUAAUUGGUUAUAAUUAUGCAUUGACACUAAUGGGGUUGUUUCAUUCUCAACGAAAUUAAGGCUAAGAAGUUUUUCAAACACUCAACCCCAUUACCAGCCAACUCCAAAGCUACGAACUCCAAUUCCAUAGUUAAUCUUGCAAUGAUAGCUUGUUUGGCUAAUCUCCGUGCACCGCACCACCACCAAGUGUAAACACAUAACCACUAGUGAAUUUUAUCUCAUAUGAAUCAGAGAUCCAAUUAGCAUCACUGUACCAUUCUAAUAAAGCGAGAAAUCCACUAUACUUAAUACCAUAUUCCAUGGUACUUCUCAAGUAUCUCAUGAGUCUCACAAGAGCUUCCUGAUGGUCUUGAUUAGGACUAUGAUUAUAUCGACUCAGUCUGCUUAUUGCAUAUGCAAAGUCUGGUCUAGAAAAGUUCAUUAGAUGCAUAAGACUCCCAAUAAUUUAGGCAUACUGAGUUUGAUCAACAAUGUUUCCUGUGUUUUUCUUCAACUGUGAGUUAGCAUCAUAAGGGGUAUUCACUAGGUUAAGGUCAUAGUAACCAAACUUAUUAAGAAGUUUCUCAACGUAUUGAGUGUCUUUGGAAUAGGAGAAUAAUAUCACCAUUCCUUACAAUUAUGAAAGUUUUAGUCCUAAGGACUAUAUCAGUACAAGUACUAAAGAUCAACAUAUCAUCCACAUAUAAACAGAUAAUCACAUAAUCAAUAUUUUCAUAUUUUGUGUAGACACAUUUAUCAGCUUCACUAUAUAAAAAGUUAUACUCAAGCAAACCAGGGUCAUAUUUAUCUUGCCACUAUUUUGGUGCUUGUUUUAGUCCAUACAGGGAUUUUAAGAGUUUUCACACUUUGUCCUCUUGACCAGGUAUAACAUAGUCUUUAGGUUGAGUCAUAUAGAUCUCUUUCUCCAGAUCAUCAUUUAAAAAUGGAACUAUUUUUUAUUAACCUUGACCAUGGCAUUUUUUUUUUGGCUUACAUCGGCUAAGGUUAUUUUUGGUUAACCUUGACCAUGACAUUUUUUAUCGACCUUCAAUUAGGGUUAAUUUUGGUUAACCUCUGCUAGGACUAUUUUUGGUCGACUUGAUAAGGUAUUUGUCAACUUAACUUGACUAAGGUUAAUUUUGGUGGAACUCGGCCAUAACUGUUUUUGGCCGACCUCGGUCAAGGUAUUUUUGGUUGACCUUGGCUAGAUUAUUUUUUAUCGACCUUGGUCAAGAUUGUUUUAGAUUGAUCUGAGUUAGGGCUAAUUUUUUUUGACUUCGAUUAAGAUUAUUUUUGACCGACCUCACCAAGGCUCUUUUUAGCCGACCUCGGUUAGGGUUGUUUUUUGCCAACCUCAGCUAGGUUAAUUUAGAUUGAGAUCAACUAAAGUUAUUUUUUGCCAAUCUCGGUUAGGUUGUUUUUGGUUGACAUUGAUUGGGGAAGUUUUCGACCAACUUCAGCUAGGGUUAUUUUUUGUUGACCUUGGUUGAGAUAUUUUUGACUGACGUCUAUUAGCAUUAAUUUUGGUCAGCAUUGACUAGGUUAUUUUUAGUUGACCUUGGUCGUACAUUCUUUGACCAACUAGACCAAGGCUACUUUAGACCAAUUCGACGAACCUAUUUUUGACCGACCACAACUAGGCUUUUUUUUGGCUAAUCUUCAUCAGGGCAGUUUUUGGUUGAAUUCGAUCAAGAAAACUUUUGUCUGAUUUGAUUGAGACUAUUUUCGAUCAGCCUCUAUAAAAAUUAUUUUUUGCCCACCUUGAUCGAGUUUAUUUUUGGCUAACCACGAUCUAAGUAUUAAAAAAAUAUGUCAUAAUAUUAAAACUUAAAGACACAUGAAUCAAUCCUAGUCCAAAGGCCUUUGUGGCCUUUUUGGCUAUGUGGACUUUUAAUGCAUACAUUCAUGAUUCGUUUGAUACGAGAGGAAGUAGGAGAAAAGGAAAGAGAGAAAGAAGAAAAUACGACUUAGGAAGUAUUUUCUAAUAAUAAAUUGACUUCUAAAAACAAAAAUUUUAAAAUUUUCCUUUUUUUCAUUUUUUUUCCAAUUCAAAAUUUCCUUCCAUCUAACCAAACGGACCAUCAAGAGUCUGCGGGUGUUUAGCCCCCGCGCACGCUGGCCAAGAUUGACGAAACAGUUUCUCCUUCUGUUAUUAAGUCUAUACUUAGCCUUAAAUUGGGAAUUACUCGUAAGUCCAAGCAACGGCGCAGUACUCUCUAUGUUUAUAAAGGAUUAUUUAAAAAUUUAGAAUGCGUACGUAUUCAAAUUUAGAGUAUAAACUAUAAAGUCCUAUUAUAUGAUUAUAGUUUAUUGAAUAAAUACAUGAUUAAAUCAUUCAUCUAAUUAAACUCCUAUAAUUAAUUUUAAACUCUUAAUCAAACAGAAACUUAGUCUUGACUCUUGACUAAUUGGGCAAUAAUAUGAAUAUACAUUACCUGUAAUUAACGCAUAAACAUGCUUCUUUUGGUAAUUAAGAAGAACAAAAAAAGGGAAGAUAUUUGCGUCUUACCGUAUGCAUACGUCGUAUUUUGGUAUUUUGCAAUACACUCCACGUCUUAUUCUUGCAGUCUGGCUACCCUUUUCGUGGGGACUUCAAUUCCUCUUGAGUUUUUAAUUUCAUUGGUGGGUGCCUUUUCAUUGCAAUGGAAGGACAAUAAAAUACCUUGCCACAAGUUGCGUCCUCCCUUUCAUAUACUUACCUAAAGUCACAGCACACCUUUAUUAUGUUUCUUUUACUUCCCCUAAAUUAAAUUUCAUUCAGAACAUGGUCUACCUGCAUUUAUAAUCCUGGUAAAGGAAAAUGUUUAUUACAAGAAGAAUUACACACUAUAAAAAUUUAGUGUACACUUAUUAGGAGUGUUUAUGGGUCUCGUUAACUUAGGAUCAAACUCAAUCCAAUCUCACAUGAUUAUAUUGGAUUAAGAUUUUAAAGUCUUUAAUGAAAUCCUAUUCAACCUAAUUAAGAUUCAAUCAUAAACAAAUUGAAUAACGCGUUCUAUUUUUUUAACCUAAUUCAAUUUGAUCCAAUUCAUACCAUAUAAUUAAAUAAUAUAUAUAUAUAUAUAUAUAUAUAUAUUAAUUAUUAAAUAAAAAACACACUAUUAAUUUUUAGCUCACAUUUUAUUAAAUUAAAUCACACAUAUUUUUUCUCUUUUAAGUCGUUUUUAACUUUGUCUUUGAUUUUAUUUAUGUUUUCGCAUAUUAAUAUUAUACUUUAUUUCUUUCUAAAAUAAAAAAUAUUAUAUUAACAUGAAAAUUAUUAAUUCUAUUAACUAUUAAUUCACAAAGAUAAAUCUAAUUGUGUAAUAAUUAACUAGUAUGUGACAUUUUUUUUCAUAAUGUUAUUAUAUUAAAAAGUUUGACUGUUUCAAGAAUCACAUCAAAACUUGCAUUUUGUUAAUGAUUUGGCAAUAUAUGAUCAAGACAUAAUGUAGACAAAUAUUAAAAAUAUAUGAAAAUUAAAUAAGUUGUCUAUGACAAUGUGUGGAUUCUUAGAAAGAGUUUCAACAACUAUAUAAUUUGUUAAAAUUAACUAAUAAUAUUUAGUUAAAUAAACAUUUGAAAAUGAAAAUGAUGUCCACUUAAUUUAAUUACAAAGGACGACAUAAGAGUGAACCCCAUUGAAGAAUUUGUCCAAAUAUAGGCACAAGUCAUAGCACAUCCAAACCCCAAAAUACAAAUAAUAUCAAUUAUAUUUGACACUCUGUAGUUUACAUUCGCAGCAAUAUAUGAAUGGUCAUCAACCACCAACCACAACCGUUGGAUAAUGAUAAUCCUCAUGAUCAGCUCAUCUCAUCUUGCAGACUACUUAUAUAUAUCAACAAAUAUUAAUUAUUAAUUUAUUAAUUUUUUAUCAAAUAAUAAUAAUCAAAUCCAUAAUUUUUUCCUCAUUCUCUUAUCUCUUAACUAAUUUUAUAUUUCUAGAACAUAUAUGCUUCACAUCCCCUUGGAGGUGAGUUGUAAAUUUGAUCUGCUAUGAGACAGGGUAGCUGCAAAUUUAGGUCAACUUGCCACCACCAUCUAAAUAAAUAUUAUUCAAUUUUAAGACAAUUAUCAUUUAUAGUUUUGUACAUUAAUUUAAUUUUUAAUAGUUUAUAUAUACACACAUAUUAAUGUUUUUAUGUUAUUUUACUAUUUUAAUAAGAAAAAUAAGGAUCUUGUUAAGUGCUAAUUAGUGUCCUAAAUAUAUUAGUUAAAAAAUUAAAUAAACAAAUAUUUAUUAUAGAAAUUGUAAAAAGAGUGUAAAGAAAUUAUGAACACUACAAUUUAAUGCAUCUUAAUUAAUUAAAAAGCCUCUAUGCUUAGCAUUUGCCUAAAAAUAAAUAAGAUCAGAAUUGAAAAGUGUUUUUUUUGUUUAAUCUCUAUAUUACAAUUAGUUUUAAGAACUAAUAAAAUCUAUAAAUUACUUUUUUAAACAAAUAACAUGUCACCUUUAGUUUAAUUAAUAACGAACUUAGUUCUAUUAAUUAUCAUUAUUUAUUUAAGUUAUUUUUAAAUUUAUGUGAGUGGAUAGAUAAAGUUUACAAACAAAAAAAAAACCUUGAACAAUUUUUAUUGUUAAUUUUAUUAAUAUCGAAGUUUUAUUUUCGAUAAUCAACAUCAACCCUUAAUUCUAAUAUUUAUUACAUAAGUGGUCGAGAUAAAACUACAAAAGUACUUUAAAUAUUACACCUAAGUUGUGUAUAUUAGAAUUAUAAUAAUUACAGUAUUAUAUAAAUUUAAUUCGAAAUAUUUAUAAAUACAGACAGAGUAUGUUAAGUGUGUGUUAACGCGGAAUUUUCAUUCCUUAAGACAGAAGAAGAAGACCGAUGUUGCGUUAAAAACACGUGUCCCAUGGCUAAGCCUAAUGAUUCUUACAAACAACUGAAACACGUAACUUUUUAAGGAAAAAUUAUUUUUUUAAAGGGUUCCCAUUAAUUUUUUGACUUCACAAAAUAUAAAUUUUUACCAGAGAUACGUAACAAUUUUGAUCUAUAAAAUACUGAUACGGACAUUUGACAUGACACAUACGCAUAAAUAUUUGAAGUAUUCAAAAUAUAAUUGAUCUAUAAAAAAUUGAUACGGACAUCUCACAUGACACAGAUACGUAAAUAUCUGGAAUAUUCAAAAUAUAAAACGUAAUAUGAGUGUCGUAUCGGUAUCAAACAAUAAUACAGAUACGUACAUAAAUAUCUGGAAUAUUCAAAAUAUAAAAUAUAAUAUGAGUGUCAUAUCGGUAUCAAACAAUAAUACAGAUACGUGUCAUACACCGAACACAACAACAAAUAACUUGAGUGUUCGUAGUUGAUAGAUUUUUAUAUCCUGAACAGGCGAAUUGGCAAGUUCAAAUGUUGCACGUCUUCAAGGAAGCAAAUGUUUCGGUCAAUAUGGCAUGUGAAUUGGGGUCUAAUCUAGUGGUCUAUGAGCAACCUCUUGCUCAACUUGAGAGCUCCUAUUCCCAAUUUAAUUUCUUUCUAAUCCUCUUUCUUUGGGCUUAAGCCCGUUGCUUUCUAAAAAGAGAUUACCUGUAUUUUAAUAGAGUUUAAUGAUAAUUACAAAUUCUACUAACUCCAACUAGAUACACUUCCUUAUAUCUCCCUUUUAUAAGUCAACCAUUCAUCUUAGUCAUAUAGAGACUUUCAUAAGUGUCCCAAAGCUCUAUCCCCACAAACUUAGAAAAAUCAAAAAUGAUAUAUGGAGUUGUACAAGUCAUCUUACCAGCAGGUGGCUAAAUAUUUCGUUAUUUUUACAUUUAACCAAUAACUAAAAGCAUAUAUAAUUUUGAUUAAUGGUGAGGGAAUUUAUUUUCUUAAAUGCUAAUGCUAAUCCUCAUCUUUUAAGCAAGAUUUGUGAAAUUAAAUUAGGUUUUAAAUCUAAUGCUGUUAUUUGGGCAUCCAUAUGUUAUGUGUCUUCUAUUCAAAUACCUAAUUCUAAUCUAAAUUUAAAUUUUAAGAUAAUAUUAAAAUCUAUCCUAAUAUUUGUAUUUGUUUGAGUUUCUGUUAUUUAGGCAUCCAUAUUUGUCUUCUCUCCAAAUAUCUAGUUCUAGGUGUAAGAAAGUGUGUUAAGCUCUCAUAUAGUUAGAGUUAUAAUUAAUAUAAUUUUUCUUCUUCUAAUAAGUUUUAAGUUGUCCUCAACUCCUCAUCUUAAAACAAAUCUUAUUUAAUUGAGUUAGAUCCCAAUCUAAAUUGUAAGACAUUAUUUAAUAUUUCUCAAUGCAACAAAAUAGCUUUAAAUUAAAACACAUAAUAAAUCAAAUGAAACAAAAAAGAAGAGAGCAAUCGCUUUAUUACUUAUUUUUCAUUGAUAAUUUAUUAGAAAAUAAAUAUUCAACAGAUACUAAUUAGAUAACCCUUUUUUUUAAUACAAGUCAUCUUCCUACCUUAUUUAUGAGCACCAGAACAAUUCCUGAAAAGAAAAGAAAAUCAAAUCAGAAUCCAAUAGACAAUUCGCUUAGCUUCCUUAUCCGCAAUAUAUGACAUCCUCCCCACAGAAUUUUUUUAUUUUUUUUUUCUAUUAUUCAAGAUUCGUUUUUAUUUUUAUUUAUUAAAAUAAAAAGAAAAUGCUUCAUGUCAUACGUCACAUACCUUUAUGCAGAAAACACCUGGCGAUACUCUAUUGGGUCACAAAAGGCACCAGUCACUGUCAUAAAACGAAAAACCCCACGAUAUUUCGCACGCUAACUCGCCAUAUCGCAACCCAAUAUAUCGUCACAUGUAAAUUCAUGUGGACCCCACACAACCUUCAAUCAUCGCUGUUACCGAAAAUUCCAUUUUCAAAGUGCAAGGAAAUGCCCAAAAUACCCCCACAACCACCACCGAAUUACUCCACCACCACGCCGUGUGUCCCUUUUCUGAGAAAUAUCAUCAAAGCGAGAGAAAUUCAUGGCCUUCUUCCAGUUUCAGAAAUUGGAUUUAAUUCAAAACUUUGGUUCAUCAAAUCACGUGUUUAAUUCUGAAAAUUUUAUUUUGAAAUUAUAAAAAAAAUUGGCUAAAUUUUACUAUACUAGAUCAAAAGUUUUUCACUAAUUUAUUUAUAGAAUAAAAGCAUUCUAAUAAUAAUUAGAUUACUUGAAAUUAGUUUUAUACAGCACAAUUUCCUUCUGAAUCAAUUUAGCAAACAAAAUCAACCACGCAGAAAUCAAUAUCCUUGGAACAAAAUCACACAAUUAAUCAGAUCCACGAAGUGGGAUUAUGAUAAUAAUGGUAAAUCACAAUAAUUUAUCAUUUCAAGAUCAAAUCAGGAAGAAAUCAAACAUAAAAAUUAGAAGAGAAAUUAAAUAAAUAAAAAAAACGAUCAGAGUUUGAUCGAUGAAACACAAGAGAAAUUCAGAUAAAUUCUUCUUCAUCUUUUAUCAGCAACAAUCUCUCUCUCUCUCUCUCUCUCUCUCUCUCUCUCUCAAUCUAAAACCUCACACACGCUCUCUCUCUCUCUUAAAUCUGUCAUCUGCUACUUUUUUUUUUCCUUCUUCUCUAUAUAUAUAAAUCUGAGAAAAAAAAAAACACGAAACCGCGUCAACCGUCAACGACGUCGUUUUGAGAUUCCGUUCCGUUCGGGUUUUUCCUUUUUUUUUUUUUCUUUUUUCUUUUUUCAGACUUUGACGAUCUUCGCAGCUCUGAUCACCGGAUUCUCCCUCGCGAUGGCUUCUCUUCCGGCGGCUUUGUAGUCAUAGCUGCAGUCGUGGCGGUCGGAGUACCGGUGCUCGGCGCAGAAGAGCUCGCCGCACCGGCACCGGAAUCCGGUGAGUCCGACCUUCCGCCGGCAUCCGGAGCAGCGGUUGACCACGCGCUUCGCCUCCGACGGCGUCGUCUGGUCCGAAGAAGGAGGAUCCGCCACCGGCGAGGGCUCUUCAGGAAAAGAUCUCUUCUGAGGACGCGCGGAGACGCCGGAUCUGGUCGCCGGAGAAGCUAUUCCGGCACCUCCGGCGCCGGAAGUGGUGGCGGUAGAGGCAGUGAAGCACUUCUGGCACAUGUUAUUCGUGGCAGGGUUUCCGGUGACGCCGCAGUUGUUGACGCAAAGCGUAAUCGUUUCCGGAACUUUGAAGUCGGUUUCUUCUUUCUCGGUUUUCUGAGCCAUGGAGAACGAUAAAACAAAAGAGCCAACUGGUUAGGACUUCAAUUUUCUUUCAGAGAGAAAGAAGCAAGAAACUUAAAAAGAGGUUUUUUAUGAAAUUGUGAUGUGAGAGAGAGGACGAAGAGAUGUGAGAGAGAGAAGAGGGGAAUUUGAAGAUGUAUUGAUGUGCUGUGAGGUCGGUAAAGGGAAUGGAAUAUGGGCCUCAUAGAGACGCGUAUCAAACAUUUCUUUCUUUACUUUUUUUUUUUUGCCUUCGUGGUUGUGUGGCGGGGGAAAUUACCAAAUUGUCCAAGUGGGUUCGUUUUGCUUGCAACUUUGCGUUGCAAUUUGCCUCUGCUGCCCCCCUUUUCUUGUCUCAGAGGUUUCUGACGUGUUCGUGUCAGUGCAUCAUCCAAAUCAUAUGUCUCUGUCUUUUUGCUUUUAUUAUUAUUAUUAUUAUUAUUAUUGCUAUUAUUAUGGUUGUUGUUGCCCCCUAAUAGUAUUUACUAUUCAGAUUUAUUUUAUUUUAUUUUGUUAGGUUGGGUGGGUUGGAAUUACGCCUUUUUUUUAUUGCCAUCAUACCCUGUAAAUUCUAAGGUUGUUGUCGUAGUUAAAAUGAAAUAAUUGUUACCAACAUGAUGGUGGGGUUUGGGUUGGAAAUAAUUUUAUCUCUUCAACAACAUGUAAUUAAGAUUUAAAUUUUGUUUUGUGCAUAUAUGAAAAAAUAUAUAUGAAGAGAAAUUAAUUUUUUAAAUAAAUUUUAAUACAAUUGGACAACUUUUGAUUAAGUAAAAUUAUUUGUUAUUCAAGUCGUGUAAUGAUUCUUUUAAGUAAGUCAAUUCUAAGAGUUUCAAUAUGUUCUUGACAUCUUGUUAAAUAAUAUUAUUUUUUUUUCAUUUUACAUGGUUAAAUAAACUUUUUAGUUAAAAAAUUAACUAAAAUAGUGUGCCAAACAUAGCCCAUGUUUUCCGAAAAAAAAUGUUCUUUUACAACAAAAAAAAAGAAUUAUAUAUUAAUUAAAGGUUGAAAUUAUAAAAUAUAAAUUAGUUUAAUGUUUGAUUAAGUAACAGUGUUUAAUAAUUUUGAAUAUUUAAUUAAUGUUUUUUUUUUAUAAUUUUAAGGAUUAAGUUGACUAACAACUAAUAAUAUGUAUUACUUUUUUUUUUUACUGAAACUUAAUGUAUUACUUAUAAAAUAAAACAUCGGACAAGAGAAAAGUAGAACUAUUUGAAUCAUUUAAAACGAAAAGCAAGCUGCUAAAAAUAUACCACAUGAGAAAAGUGAAACUAUUUGAAUCAUUUGAAAAGAAAAGGCAAGCUUCUAAAUCUGUCCUUAAAAGUUACACGCAUCAUCAUUUAGCAUUUUAAAAUUUUCUUUACUAGGUUAGUAAUCCCAAAAUCUAAAACAUAAUUUAAAAAGAAAAAAAUUUGUCGUUGAAUAUAUUUCUUAACGAUUUAAUUUAUCACUAAAUUUUUAACGUGUUAUCUAAUAAUUUACAUGGAAUAUAUAGCCCUAUAUAAGUAGUAUAAUUCAGUAAAAAAAAAAAGAGUAUAAUGCAAAGUCUGUAAAAUUACUCAGUUCACAAAAUAAAAAAUGUGGUCGUCGAAUUUAAUUAGAACAAAUACAUAGAUCCAAAAAUGUAUACUAGGCUUACUAUAAAUUCGCCUGCUGGAUAUAGGUUCUUAAAAUAAAUAAAGGGUGUACAAAAAUUUGAGAUUACUAAUUUAUAAUUAUAAAAAUGUGAUCGCAUUUUGUACACAUUUAAGACAAUCUUUAAUUAAUAGAUAAUUAGAUACAUAUACCACUAAGUUUUGUGGUAAAGUUAACGUGUUACUGAAUUUUCUUAUCAUGUUGAUUAGAAUAUUACUGGAACCCUGCAAAGAGAAUUUUCUCAUCUCAUGUUUUAAGAAACAAAUCAAACUUUUAUAAAGCAACAAAUCAUCAAACAUGUGAAUUUAUUAGUGUGAUGUUAUUUAAGAGAGAGUCCAAGAAAUCUAAAGUAAAAUUUAGAAUAAAUAUUUUACUUUAAAUGUGAUAGAAAUAUAAUAGUUUUUUUUUGUCAACAUAGGUGGACUUCUUCCGACCUAUGAGGCGUCUUUGUUUUAUUAAAAUUAAUAAUAAAUAUUUUUAGUUACCUUAAAAUUUAAGUUUUAAUUAUUUUAUUUUUAAAUUAGAUGUUAUUUUGGUUUAAUUACUCUCAAAUUCAAAUUUUAAAUAUACAAUUAUAUUAAAUAGUCAAAGAAAAACUUUAUUAUUCAUAAAAGUUCUAUUUAACCGGGUCAAUCCUCAUAUUUCAUGGACCUAUGGUAAAAAAUUAAUUUGGACCUUUUAUAUUUAAGUAUUCAAAAAAUAAAUAUAUUAUUUAAAAAAGUAAACACAGUUUAGUUAAAAAAUGUUUUCUUACAUUAAACAAAUAAUAUAGAUUUAAUAAAUCGUAAAAUGAUAUAUCACAUUUUUAUUUAAUUUAUUCUUAUGUUAUCAUUUAUCAUUCAAUUUAUUCUUAAAAAAUUACUUAACAUAAAUAUUUAUGUAUAAGGUAGACAUAACAAGUUUGACUCUUCUAUCCUCAUUCUUGCAUAAAACAUAAUAUGUUCACAUUUAAAAAGGUAAACAUAUAUUUUUAAAAUCCAUCUCUAUUCUCAUUUUAGUGUUUUACAUGUUUGAUUUGGAUAAAGUUGUGAGGAAACUCAUCACAUUUUUUAUAAGGUAUACAUAUAUUUUUAAAAUCCAUCUCUAUGUAGGGGACAAUGAACUAAUAGGUGUGCUAUUAUCUUGGUUUAAUCAUUGAUCUUAAGUUUAUGUCUUGAUUUGUAAUUACAUUAAAUAUUUGAAGAAAAAAUUUCAACCCUAUAUUGCAUGGUUUUCAGUCUGAAUUAUUGUCGCACAAAUUCUGAGUCAAAUUCAACAAACUAGCGCGAAAGAAAGAGUCAUAAUUUGUUGACGAACUUUCAAUGUUUAACUAAACAUACUUAUAAUAAUUUUAUCCGACUCGAGCAAGAUUAUCUCAUUACAUAAAUGAUAGAUGUUAUUUAUUAAGAAAAGAAGCAUGAAAGAGAUAAAGAAGCAUGUGGGGGACGUAUGGAUUCGGUGAAGGGAACAAUGAACCUGAGAAACAAAAAAUGUAGGUGAUGAAUGAUCAUGAGCUGAUGACUUCACAUGGAAGUGGUCCUGUGUUACUGUUCCGAAAGAACAGGGUUGGCAAUCACGCAGACACAAGUUUAAAUAUUGCUUUAUAUCACAGCUCGUUUAUAACAAAGUCCAAUGCACUCUCAGUGGUUUAGUUUUGCUUUCCAUUAACCAGCAAUGUGCCCUUUUGCACGCAAAAACGGGAUCCAGUUUCAACUAAUCAAUUUUUUUUAUAUGGCUCUUUGUAUCUUUUAAUCGUGUCGAAUCAUGUAAUCGACCUCACAUGUAUAGUAGAAUAAGAUUUUGUUGUUGUUGUUAUUAGUGGUGGUGGUGAAUUUGUAAAAUUUUUUUUAUGAAUUAUAUUGCUCUCUGUAUAGAUCAUUAUAAUAAUUCUCUUCAUAACUAUUAUUAUUAAAGGUUAAAUUAAAUUUUCAAUAAUAAUCAUGAUGUUUCAAAAAAAUCAAAAAUGAAAAGUCCUUGUUUAUUUUCAAUUUAAUUCUCAUAUGAAAAAUAUCUUUCCUCACUAUAUAUAUGUUGUGUAGUUUUUUAUUAUCAAGAAGAUCUAAUUUAAUUGGUUAAAUAGUGUGUGUGAGCUGAUAUUUAAGUUGGUUUUUCGUAUGAAUAAAACAAACAAAUAAAUUUUCGUCAUUUGCUAACGCCCAUAACUUUGUAAACCAUUAAUUAUUAGGACUCAGAUUAUGUAUACGACAAAUUCUUUUUAUUCAGCUAGCACUUACUUCAUAGUUUAUUUGCUUAAUUAUUGGAACCAUCAAAUUAUUUGUCAGCACCGGAGCAUUUUUAAUAUAAGGGAUACACAAGACUAUGCAGUAUGCACAAAUAAUUAUAUGAGCAGUUCCUUCUAUAGUCCUUUUUUUUUAUUUUGAGAAUUGAUCCACUCGUUUGCUUGCAAUUUUUAUAAGUAAUUUUACUUGACUAGCUAGCUAUAUGCGAAUGGACGAUUAGGAAUAAUUUCACAAACGUAGAGGGCCAGUUCUUUUUCAAAAGUAAAGCCUCAGAAUUUAAACUCAUAUCGAAUGUUUAACGAACUUGAUAAAUGCUUAUAUAGCUGGGUAAGUCAUUCUCUUAUGAACAGAUUUUUAAGGAGACCUUUCGGAUGCUUUUGCUGCACUAUAAAUUUAAUAUGAUAUCAGAGCCAUAUUCUGUCCCGGUGGGUGCAGCUUGUGGUAGCUCAUGGUUAUGCAGUUGGGGUUAUUGUGUUACAGAAUCCUCCAUCUGAGUGUUUAGGCUAUUUUUCCUUGUAUGUUGGCAUUCAAACAAUGCUUUAUGUUGAAGUUUUUUCAGCUAUCCUAGUGAUCGAAAUUGUGAAAGACAAAGGCUGAAAUUGAGUUUGACUUGAAUGUGAUUCGACCUUAAUUAGUCAUCCAAAACUUUAUAGGUGUGAUUUCUCUCCUUGCAUCUCAAUCUCAAUUUUAUAUAUUAAAGGUAUCAAGUUGAACAUAAGUAAUUUCUUUUACACGAGCAUAAAAUUUUAAUUUAUACAUUAUUAAAAAAUAAACGCACAAGCAAGAUGUUUAUUAAAUCCCAUAAGUCGUUUUGGGGACAACUUAGUUGGGUUUUCCUAUUGUCUCCUGCAUCCCAACCUCAAUUUUAUAAAAAAAAAGGGUACCAACUUAAAAACAAGUAAGUAUAAAUUUUUAAUUUAACCAUUAUUAAAAAUAAACACACAUACAAGAUGUUUAUUAAAUCCUAUAAGUCGUUUUCAUAUCAAUGAAAUAUAUUUUUUGUUAAAAUUUUGGGCGAAAUUAUGAUGAAAAUAUUAGCCACAUAUUAUCAUUGAGAUGAUAACUGAUGUCUAUGUAGCAUUUUUAAAUAAUAUUGUACGACAACAGUGUUCAACUUUAAUAAUUCAUCAAUUUGAUACUUUUCUGUAUGUUGUUUUAUAUAUCGAUAAAUUUACAUAGUUAUAAAAAAAAGUUGUCUCCAGGCUAAACACAGUGUGUUAUGUCGAGAACCAUCUAUUUACAAAUUGUACUAAAUGCCUAAAUGGAGUGUGAAAAUUAAUUAUUAGUACUUUUAAAAGAAAUUUAUUACAGUAUAAUUUAAAUUUUAAAAAUGGGACCAGAGAUCAACAUUGUUAAAGUUUUAAAAUUACGUUUAAAAUAAAAUAAUUCAUGUUUAAUUUAUUUUUUUUGCAUAAAAUUUAAAUCGAUUGAUCCAACCGAGGUUGUUUUUGAUCAACCUUGGUUAGGUUAACUUUGACAAAUCUUAGCAAGGAUUAUUUUUUGGGCAACCUCAGUGGAAAAUAUUUUUGUUUGAUCUCAAUUAUGAUUAUUUUUUUAUCGAAUUCGACCUAGAUUGUUUUUGAUCGAUCUCUAGGGUUCAUUUUGGUUGACAUCAACUAGAACAUUUUCGACUAACCUCACUCGAGAUUAUUUUCAAUCAAUCUCAAUCGAGUUUGUUUUUGGCUAACCACAACUUGAGUAUUAAAAAAUGUUAUAAUAUUGAAACUUAAGUCCCAUGGGCUAACCCUAAACCACAAAGCUUUGUGGCCUUGUUGGCCCUAUAGGCUUGUUAAUGUUGUAACAUUGUGGAUUUUCGUAAUGUAUGUCAAGUUCUUGAUAAAUACUCUAAGAGGAAAUUAAAUUUAGAUUCAUGAUAUUUAUAGUUGAAUUUAAUAAAUAGAUUGUUAUGUUAUGUGUUGUAGAGCUAUUUGUAAUGUCAUGAUUUUAUUAAUUGUGCGAUUAAGUGUUUAAUUUAUUUUAUAUUGCAAGAUAGAGAUUUGAGUGUGUAAUUAUAUCAAUUAAGAUGUUAGUUUAUUUAAAUUGCUCUAAUUUUAAGUGUUAGUAGGCUUAGAAAUCUUUUGGGACCAAAUAUCUGGUCACAAAAACACGUAAGGGAGGGGUGAAAAUAGAAGAAAGGGGUAGUUAGAUAGCAAUGCAGGAUAAGACCACUUUUCCUAAUCCCCUUUGCACAUUCAAAGCUUCAAAAUCCUCUCCAAUCUUCUUUGAUUUUUCUCUCCAUUCCCAAUUGUGCUCAAAACCCUUCACUUCAAGAGUUAACAAUGGUUAGGUCCACUCCAAGGAAACCUUGUUGUUCUAAAUCCUAAAGCUUUGUUGGAUUCCAAAUGACUACAUUAAUUAUUUUCAAAUCUUAAGCUGAGAAAGGUAUGAGAGAUUCACCAACUUCAUACUCUAGCAAUGAUCAAAUUAGUGAACAAAUGUCAACUUAUCGAUAAUAAGUAAAAGUUUCACAUAGAUUGUAACUUUAGGCAAAGUAUACUUCCAAACUAGGUCUUAGGAUAAGCAUAAAUGUUGGAGAUAAUCUUCUUAGCUUUUAAACGGGACAAGAAUAAACUUAAUUAAGUUAGUGUAGAUUUACUUAUCAUGUUUAUAAGUUAUUAAGGCCAUAGACGCAUAGUAGGAAACAAAUGAGAUCGUACUCCAAAAACUUAAUAGAUGUUAUAAGAACCAUAAAUAUGAGGCAGAAAGUCAUUAUACUGGUAGAGUGAUUCAUAUUUAUAAUGUGUGGUUUGGUCUAUGAUGUUAUUGUUGAUAAUUAUCUUGUUGUUAAAUUAAUGAAUCAUUGUAUGAAGGGUUUGUCAUUGUCAUUGUUGUUGUUGUUGUCAUGGUAUACAGUGUAUGCACAGUUGGUGCACGAGCAUAUGAGUAGGCACUUAAGUUGAGGGUGUUAGGUGAGCUCUCAACCUAGUGUUGGGGGAUUUUCAUGAUGGCUAACGGGAAUGUGCCUAUGAACAUACUGGUGGGAAAAUCCCUAUAGAUGUAUGGUCUUGAAAACCUACAGAGGUAAGUCAAUACCCACACUUACCUAUAUUCGAUAAAAACUCACUUUCUUUGUAGGUCCAGCCCAAAAGACUCCUUGAAUGAUCUGAGAGUGAGACUGUGUUAAAGGAUGUGGCUCAUAAAAGAUCACCCAUAUUGCAUUGAAACUCCAUGGAGUAGAGUCAGAGUUUAUGUCUAAGUUUGGGGUGGCCAAGUUGGUUGCUAGUAAAUGUCAAUAGAUGACUUUGGUUUAGUUGGCUAUCAGUAUGUGUCAGUUGUGAUGAUUGUUUAUGGUGAGAAUUUGUGAUAGUUGAUGCCAACAAUGGUUUAUGUGAUGUAUGAUGUUUAUGACUCCUAAUGAUGAAUGGUGAUAGAACUAUGUUGUUCUUGAUGGUUUAAGGAAUAUAUUUUAAGGUUAUGUUAUAUAUAGUAAUUGAGAUGGAUGAUUUGAUGUCGAUUUAUAUUGAUGUUUAUUGAUGAACAAUAAAAGAUAUAUGUUCUAUGAAUCGGGUUUUGAGAUAAACGCAUCAAUUGGGUUUUAUUAUAAAUCUUUGACUGAGUGGUUUGAAAAGUAUCUACAAAGUAUAUAACUUUUAGUAUUCCUCAUCUCUUUAUAGAUUGUUUUGGAUUAUUUGCAUAUGUAUAUUUGUUCUGGCGAGCUUACCCUUGCAUGUUUCACCUGUGGUUUGUGCCUGUGAUGAUCCCAUACCUAAUAUACAUGGGAAGCAUAUGGUUUCUAGGGUGGAUCUUUUGUUUGGAGGUGUGGUAGAUGUAGCGAGCAAGAGAUUAGAAGUUGUGUCAUUCUCUUCCUUUUCCUUAGUUUUAGUUUUGAAUAGAAAUGACCAAUUUAGGUUUGUCUUAUUAUAACUUUCAUGAGUUUUAUGUAAUCAAAGUAUGUCUUCCAUUAUGGUUGAAGUGCCAUGAGCCACUGAUAACUGCGAAAUCUAAGCUAAAUUGAUAGUCAUUUUUGGCUAAUAAUGAUAAUAGUUUCUUCACUUUAGUAUUGUUUCUUCCAUACGGCUCAACCCAGGCUCAGCGUGUGACACUUGCUUAGCGGGAAGUUCCAAGCUUAGCGCGAUGUCUUGCUCAGCGUGUAGGACCAGCUUAGCGUGAGAAGGCACACGAGGAAAAGCCUAGUGUACGCUUAGCGCACAGAUGCGCGCUUAGUGCUAGGUCAGCGUGAAAAGUAAGCUACCUUAGACCUAUAAAAGGAGAAAGAAGCAGAAGGAAAAACGACACCAAGUCUCAGAGCUAUCCAUUGUAGAAAUCCAAAGCCUGAGUCUAUCCCUUAAGGGAAACCCUCUGUCCUUAGCCAUUCUCCCUCCUUUUGUUAUUAGUCAUCUAUCACCUUCUUCUAUUAACCCCUGAAGUGUAAAGCCUCUCAUGGCUAUGAGAGGCUAAAUCCCCAUUGUUGGGUGCCUAGAGGCCAAAAACGCUUGUAAUGUAAUUCUCUGUCUAUUAUCUAAUGUUAUUUUGUUUCCAUUAUUCUUCUUUGUGCUCAUUUAUUAUUAUGGUUUGAUCAUCCAUAUAAUGUUUACAGGGUAAUACAUUAAAAAAUGGUUAUUUUCUAAAGAACUAGGGAAGGGUAACUUAAUAAAUUCAUUGCUAGAAAUAGAUUGACAUUUAUUUUGCCUAUGAAAUUUUGCAUCUCUUAUCUUAAUGCAAUUUGUUAUUUUAUUUCUGCAAAGAAAUUUGGAGGAAAAAGAUAAAGAAAUUAGGUCCUUCGUACGGGGAACCAAAGAUAGGGUAAUCCAGUAGAUGCGGGUGGAAACAUAGAAUUCAUUAAUUAAAGAAAAUAUUUUACAUUACAUCAUAAGUAAUUUUGGCAUAUUAGGCCCUCAACAUUAUUGUAUUCUGAUUCUAUCUUUUUACAUUGUUAUUUAUUUUUCCUAUUAAUCUUUGCUUUGCCUUAUUCCAAAUUUCACAUUUACAAUUCAUUGUCUUUGUCUUCUUCUCUUUCUUUUCAUUGCUUAAUAAUUGAGUUUGCAUCACUUAAGUACAACCAAAGUCCCUGUGGAUUUAACACUUGGACUUCCAUUUUAAUCUUUAUUACUUGUGAUAAAAUUGGUACACUUAUCAAUCUGUUAACAACCACCAAUGUUGAUUUGGUUAUGUUUAGUAGAUGCAUGGUUUUCGUUAUAAGUUUAUUGGUUUUUUUUGGAAUUGCGAAAAGUUCACACAGUAUUUUCAUAAGUAAAUUAAUGGAACAAUUUUUAAUUAAAUAAAUAAUCCAAACCUUAGUUAUAUUAGUUAUGUAACGAAGGUGGGUUACUACAAAUGCGAGCCCUUUUCUCCUGAUCCACGUGGACCGUUAUUGGGUCGAGCCUGGCCCGACCAUUUUUUAUGGCUCUAAAUUUAACAUUAUCAUCACCUCACCAACAUCAACAUACUCACCUCAUAAAAAAUAUUCAUAUCAUCCAUAAUCAACAACUCAAACCAUUCAUAUUAGUUAAAUCCAUCACAAAUUCAUUAUGCAUUCAAAUUGGAAAAUUUACUUAAGGAAAAUGAACAUUAAUCACAUUCACAUCAAAUUGAUUUCUAGACUUAAACUAAUUUUGGACUUAAAACUGAUCUCUAGAUUAGACACUUGUCAUCAAACGCAAGUCACUGAACGCAAGUCAUUGGAUGCAACUUGUGGAUGUAAGUCACUAAACACAACACGUUGAGCACAAGUCGUUGGAUGCAAAUACUGGAUGGAACUCACUAGAUGAUUGGACGUUGGUUAAAAUCUACAACGAACAAAAUGUUGUAACAAGGAUUUUUUGCUGUAUCCAAGGCCUUCCAAAGGAUCCGAAACAUCCAAAAUCAUAUGUCAAAGGUUCAGGGACAAUGUUUAACACUUACAAAAAAUUAUUUCAAGGCAAAACAUUUUAGUCACAAGUUUGCAACAAUCUUAUUUUCUUCUAGUUGCUUUGUUCAGAAGACUUGAUGAUCUUUCCAAGUUUUGUGUCUCUAAAUAUUUGUUGGUUUUCUUCAAAGCUUGCUGCUACUGAAUCAGUGCUAUGAGCACUCUACAUGACUUUUGAUCUUAUUGUACUUAUAGUAUGUGCUUCUGAAUAGUUUAGACUUUAGUGUCAUGUGCUUCUCUACUUAACAAUACUACUUCUAAUAGUACACGAACCAUGCGUAACUUCUGAUAUAUACCCAUUGACUAAAGAUACCUUCUAAUGCUACCAAUCUUUAAUUCUUCUCAUAAUUUUUUUGAUAGUUCUGUGCCUAAUAAUGCAAAAUCUAUGUUUGGAGGAUUAACAUGUAGAUUGAUGCUCCACACUAUCCCUCAUGCUUCUUGAUCAAAUCCUAUCUUAAACUUAAAACACUCAAUGGAAACCAUUAGUAGCUUAAACUUGAAGACUUAAAUUUCCUUCUUAAAAGUUUGUUAUCAUUAAAAAAUUUGAUUGGAGAAAGGGUUUUGCUUCAUCAACAUGUCAAUCUUGUAUGCUUCUAGUUAGCAUUCCUUUUUGGUUGUCUUGCAUGUAAUGGGAAAACCCAUUAUUAGAAGGCUGGCAUCUUUAUCAUCUAUAACAUAGGGAUAUUGACUAUGUAUUAAGGACAAUAUACUAUUUGACUUGUCCUAAUUUGAGUUUUCGUAACGCUCUUUCUUAUAUACUUUUUUAUCCAGUGAGAUGAGUGCUUGAGACCAAUGAAUUGUUGGCAUUAACUACUAAAUAGUAUAGUCCCUCACAAUCGUCCUUUGGGAUUUUUGUUCUAGAAUGACACAUUUGGAAUCAUGGAAUGUGAUGACAUAAUUCAACAAAGUACAAAGUUUGCAUAUUGAGAAAGCAAAUUAAAAGAAAAAUCUGAAACCUAUAGUACAAUAUUUAAAUAUAAAUCGAGGGAAAAGAACAAUAGUGCCAACAAAUUUAACUAUGGAAAAAUUUCCAUUCAAUAAUAUAACGUUCACAAGUUUAAUUUUUAGCAAAAUUUUGAAACCUAUGCAUGGAUGAACAUAUGAUCACUAGUUCUUGAAUCUAUGAUCUAAUAACUUGAAGAAUAAUUAUUGUAGCAAGAAAAAAAAAAAAGGUUGCUAUUUGAUUUGGAGUCUAUAGCUAGCGUGUAUGACCAAACUAAGUAUAUGCGCUUAUCUAAUUAGUGUAUGAACAGAAGCAUGGUCUCAGUCUUCUUGGUGAUAGAAGGAUUUACGAUUAUGUUCCUUCCUUUAUUGCUUUUUAUGUGUUUGCUGAUAUUGAUUUUGUUUCAUAAUUUCCCUCGUGGGAGUUAUUUUGGGGUUAGCCCCUUUUCACACCAUCCCUCCUAGUAUAUGAGCUUAUCUACUUAGAAGUGAGUAAUGUGUGCUAGUUUAUAUUGGUUCCUUGAAUUAGAGCAAGAAUUUUUUCAUACUGUUAAUCUUCUUUAUGAUUAUAGCUAUCAUUCAUUUCACUAUUUGCUACAGGUACACCACUCCUUUGGAGAUGUCGUGGAAAUCCAUGUUUAUUGUAACAGGUUUCAACCGUAUGUUUUCUACAAUAAAUGAACAUCUUGUUAAAAUCUCUACCACUUGAUCCUUUGUUAUAUCCUCUAUUCCUCAAACUUGCCCAUCUCUUUCUAUCAACAACAUUAAUCAAGCCAUUGCUCUCCUCUUUGCUGAAAUAUGUGCAUCCAAAUGUUUACUAAGGUAUAAUUGUUUAUGCCUCAGACACUAAAAAUGUUUUAAUUGAACUCGAGCCUAAGGUGCAACAAUGGACUUUCCUCCAAUGCUCUUCUAAAAGAAUAACCAUCCAAAGCUCUACAUAAACAAAGUUGUGCCCAAAGAGUUUUCAUGCAUCCAACACAAUGUUUUUGUCCAACACUAUUAAGAAAACUUACACUCUUGAUUUAUAUCUUCAUCUAAGUUUUCUUCAUCCAAAACAGACACGUGAUGACUGAUGAGCUCUUUAUUAUAUGCUUAACUGCUCUUAUAUUCUCUCACUCAUUUGGUAUUCCCUCUAUUUUUUUGAAUAUACUAUAACGUUUAAUUUUCAAGCAUUUAAUGAAAAGUACAAUUUUCUGAGUAUAAGUAAAAUCUCUAUUCAAAAGCAAGCUACAUAUCGACAUUCAAUACAAAGGAAAGACUGAAAUGAGUAUAAGCAGAAAAACAAUUCAAGCCUUCAAAGUGUGUUAGUAAUUUGUAAGAAAGCAAAAGACACCUACUCCUUUCUCCUCCUGAAAAGUGUCAUAAGUUAUAAUGUAUCAAGCUUUCCAUACAUUAAAUGAAGUUCAGAACAAGAAGAAAUUCAAGGGCUCUAACACACAAAAAAUACUUCACCUCUAAUCAUGAAGAGAAGAUCAAUAGUAACAAAUCUAACAUAUUAGGAAAAUAAGCGAUAUUACAAUAUAAAGCCUUGCCUUGCUAUGCAUGUCCAAUUUGAUACACCAUGUUGCUUUUGCAGUUAGAUUUUUUUAUGGGAUAGAACAUGCAAAUUUCAUUGGUGAUAUUCGAUCCUAUUAAUGGCCGUUUACCAAAGUUGAAUAAAUUAUUUUCUAUGAUUAUAAAGCGAGAGAAUACAUUAAACCCAAAAAAAAUAAAAACUGACAAUCAAUUUCUACUUUUGUUGUUGUUCAAGUUUGUAUUUUAUUUAGUCAUAUUUAAAAUUCUUUGUUUCUCAUAAAAAAUUUAUUAUGUAAAAUGUAAAAAAAUCAAACCUAAAUCUUCUCCUCCAAGUUCAAUAUAUAUGUCAACAACUUAAGCCAUUUCCAUUGAAUUUUGCUAUCCCUAAUCUAUCCACUCAUGUGUUUGAAGUGAAUUCAUAUUCAACCAACGGAUUGAGGACACGUGAUCACAUGACAUAACAAAACUCACGUACACGUGACACAGAAGUGAUGAACCGAACAAGACUUUUUUGUUGGGAAGUUUUGGACACCAAGCUGUAACAAACACAACAUUGUGUAGUUUCUCUCCUCCUAUGUUUUUUACCACCAUCCAAAUCCAAUUUCCCAUCUUUCCUCGUAUUUCCAUUCCUUUUAUAUCUCUUUGCCCCCAACACCACCGUUUCUCUCGGGCUCUCUCAACCUUUUCUUAAUUUAAGUGGCUGCAAAGCCCCACGUGUUGCCUCCUUCACUCUUUUGGCUGCCCCCACUUUUUUUGUUCACCUCUUUCGUCAACCAAUAAUUCCUUUGGAGGUUUAGGGUUUUGAUCCUUGCAGCUCUCUCUUAAUUAAAGGAUAUUUCUUUCUUUCUUUCUUUUUUUUUUUUUUCUCUUUUCAAUAACCGCCAUGUCUAAGAGGUGAGGUUGAUCAUCCUGUGUUUUGUAUUGGGUUAAUUGACUUUUUCUUGAUGUGGGUCUUCAGUUUUGUGUUCUGCAGUUUCUCCAAUUUAUGUUGAUUAUUGAUUUUUAUAUGUUUGUGUAAAUUAUUGUUCUUAUAAUCCUGCUUUCUUGAUCUUUGAACCCGAGAAAAAACUAUUGUUUUUGUUUUCCAUCUGGGGUGUGUCAUUCAUUGAGCAGAAUUCAGAAAAAAAGGGUUGAAAGUUGAUACUUUUUUUCUUGCCCCUUUUGUUAUCGAAUUUGGAAAAUCUUUAUUUGAUUUCGAUAGCUUUUGUUAGUGGAAACUCAAUCAAGUUAUAAUUUUUAACAUAUCAUUCAUUCCAGAGACUUCUAUGGUCAUGACAGACAAUAAACCUUUCGUGGAUGUUAUAAAAAUGUUGAAUUCUGUAAAAGCAAAAUUUGGCAUUGAUAUCUAGUCUGUGGUUUGUAGUUGACACUUGAUACGAUUUAACUAUGAAAUCAUUUGAAUUGAGCCAUUUGUUUUGGUUUGUGGAAAUCUGGAUAAAAGGUUUUAAUUGGGGACCUUGGUUUUUGAUUCUUUGGACAAGUGUUGUGUGGUCCUUUUCUUUCUCUGUUAAUAUGUUCUCUAUUUUCUAAUGCAUCUUGAAGAUUAUUUUAAUUUUUGUAAUUUCUUAUCUUCUGAAUCAUGUAGGGUUCUUUGCAAGUUUUUUGCUCAUGGAGCCUGUCUGAAAGGGGAGCAUUGUGAAUUUUCUCAUGACUGGAAAGAUCCUCCAAAUAAUGUUGGUGAUGCAAACUCUUCUUUGCUGCAGACCCUAUUAAUUAAUUGAUAAUUAUUUAGAUUUCUCUGAUAAUUUUUUCUUGUUUGUCUCGUUAUGACAGAUAUGCACAUUUUAUCAGAAAGGAGUCUGUGCUUAUGGUAGUCGCUGCAGAUAUGAUCAUGUCAAAGCUUCUCGAGAGCAAUCUUCUGCUCCAUCUUCUUCAGUAACCGAACCCCAGACCCCAGUUUCAGAUACUGUUGCUUUUGGAAAUACUAGAGCUACAUUUAAUGGUGUUGCUACAGCUGCAGAGUUUUCUCUUUCCAGGAGUCCUUACUUUCUUCCUAGUGAACCAGCUUGGAAUCAAGAACCGGUUUGGAAUCAAGAGUUUGGGUAUAAUGAACCUUUAGGAGAGGACAAUGUUGGUCAAACCAUAAUCACUUCACCUUCUGAGCUUUCAAUUUGUUCAUUUGCUGCUGCUGGAAACUGUCCACGAGGGGAAAAAUGCCCUCAUAUUCAUGGGGAUCUAUGUCCCACCUGUGGAAAGCAUUGCUUGCAUCCUUUCCGACCUGAGGAAAGAGAAGAACAUAUGAAGAGUUGUGAAAAUAAGCAUAAGCAUCUUGAUGCAUUGAAACGAAGUCAAGAAAUUGAAUGCAGUGUUUGCCUGGAGCUUGUUCUGUCAAAGCCUACAGCAGCUGAAUGUAAGUUUGGGCUGCUGUCUGAAUGUGAUCAUCCGUUCUGCAUAUCCUGUAUUAGGAAUUGGCGUAGUAGUAACCCAACAUUGGGGAUGGAUGUUAACAGCACAUUGAGGGCCUGCCCUAUUUGUCGUAAGCUAUCAUACUUUGUCAUUCCAAGUGUCAUUUGGUACUCAACAACUGAAGAAAAACAAGAAAUCAUCGACAACUACAAGGCAAAGCUCAAGUAAUUUCCUGAUCACUUACAAAAUCUUAUGACAUCUUUUGCUUUUCCUAUCCAAUUAAUCCGUGAUCUAAUCACAACUAAAGCGCAGAGAGUUUUAACUUUGGGUUACAAUUAUAUGCUGCCUAGUUGAUGAGGGACGAUCCAUUUCCUUUCCUCCUUCUCUAUAUUGACCGGCGCAGCUGAUGCCAAGCCAUAUAGCAUAUAUUUCACAACAAGAAAAAGAAAAACCUCAGCUGAGUGAAAUAGUGAAUGGCUAUCUCUUUUUCUGAUACUCUUUUGGUAAUUGUUUAAUUCAUUUGUAGGUCAAUUGAUUGCAAGCACUUUGACUUUGGGGAAGGGAACUGCCCUUUUGGAACUAGUUGUUUCUACAAGGUAAUUCUGUGAAUAUAACUAGUUCUAAUGUGACUCCCCCUCUCCCCGCCUGGGCCAUUUUUCUCUUUUCCUGCUAAGCACUUGUAAUUAUCUUUUCUUGAGGCAUAUAGAUGUUUUCUUAUACACUCUUAGAAUUCAUUGCAUUAAUAAAUUAUUUUUUCAUACUAGUCUCCAAAGUGUGUACUAAAUUUGGUUUGCUAUUAAGCCAAUUUCAUUUGUCCUAAUGGCUUCAAUUUUCUAUAAAAUUAGCAUUAUAGCAUUGAAAACAAUGGCUGCAACUUGUUUCUGCCUUUCUAGUACUCAAGUCUAUUAAUAUUUGCAGGCAUACAGUUUCUAUUCCCCUACCUUGUGUUGAAUUAUGAUGUCUAGAUAGUGGUUUUGGCCAUUGAACUGUGUUAAAAGUGAGGUUUGAUUAGUGUUUUGAGGUAUCUAUUAGCAAAAUUGACUGAAGAUUGGUUUCUUCUAUCUUUACUUGCAGCAUGCAUAUCGAGAUGGCCGUCUGGAGCAGGUAGUUUUGCGACAUCUAGGGGCUGCAGAUGGUGAUACCGUAAUUGCAAAAGACAUCAGGUUGCUCUUUUCCUUCUCAUUAUCUCUGGCCUUAACCUUUCCUUUUCUCUUUUAUUUUGUUCAUUUCACUAACCUAAAACAUGAUGCUUUCAGGUUGUCGGAUUUCCUUUCUAACAUGCAUUUAAGAUGAAUGGUGUUGUUCGUAUGUUCCAGUAAGUUUCAAACUUGUGUUUCCUUUUACUUAAAUCAAGGGCGACUUUUGUAUAUGGAUUAAUGUAUAAUAAUAAUAUUUCCUUUGUAUCCUUUGCUUCAUUAUGGUGCUUUGGUUUGAAGAAUCUUAUGCUCCUCUAAGGAACUCCCUGUUCUUAAACCAACCAACAAAAUUACUUAGGCCCUCUUUGAAGAAGCUUAUCCAUAAACACUUAUAAAAAAAUAUGUGUGUAAUGGAGAAGCUUAUCCAAACAUGGCCCUAAUGUGAUUCUCGAAGUUCUGGAUACAUGAUUACUUUUGUAUUUGGUGCUUAAUUUUUUUAUUGUUAAUUUCUGUCUUUGAAGUCUCAAAUAUGAUAGUUCUUUGGGAAGCAUCACCAUUUGUUCUAUUGUUGAUAAGCUGAGCCAAACUUUUAUGGUAUUUACCCAAGUUUGAUGAUCCCAUGAAUGGUGAUUGGUUUUAUGGGUAUUUAGAGGCCAUAUCACAUUUAGUAGUCUGGUCAUAUUAUCUUUGCAUAAACAUGUUCUAUUUUAGAGUUAUUCUGGGUUGGGGUUUAAGAAAUGAAUGUGUUUAGUGUGCUUCCUUAUAGCCUUUUGAAUGUGAGAGUACAUAUCUGCCUUUUAAAUUGUUUAAACCAAGUUUCUCCUUUUACAUCUAGACAUAUGAUAUGGAAUGGAACAGGUGAAGAAAUGAAUCGACUAGUAUUUGGUUGCUACUUAGUAAAGGGUAAUCACACUGCGUAGAAGGAAGCACCACUUCUUUGGGGCCAUUUUAAGCAAUCUUAGAUUCUUUGGGCCUUCCAGAAAAUGGGAAUGAUGGACAUUAAAAGCUUAUGAACUUUGUCCUAAAAUGAUCAAAGAAAGAGAAGAUCAAAUGAUCUAUCUAAAAUUGGUGAAUGAUUAUGCAGGGUUUAGUUCUAAUUAUCUCACUUUCCAACCAUAUAGAUAUUGCCAUCAAAAGUGGAAAGAAAAAUCUGUUUUCAUCUUUCUUUGUUUUUUUAGUUAAACUAAUCAUUUGGUCCUUAAUAGGUUGCACUCAUUUAGGAAUCAGUUCAUGUAUGAGGAAAGCUUAAGUUUUAAUCACCAUACACCCUUAUUAGUAAACAUUGGUACCUGCUAUUACUAUGUUUCAGUUUUAGUCUUAAAAAACUUAAGUUUUAGUUCCUAUACGCCCUUAUAGGGAUUAAAGUUUUAAGUUUUCUUUUCCCGGUACAGGGACUGAUUCCUCAACGAGUUUCACCGAUGAGGACCUAAUGUUUAGUUUAACCUUGUUUCUCUUCCUCACUUUUUAUUCCCAAAACAUCUAGCCCUAAUGCCUACUUUUUUUUACAUCUAUGCAUAGUUGUUUGAAUAGAAUUGUUGUUAAGCUUAGUGCCUCUGUUUUUCUUUGUUAUCCCUAGUUGUGUUAAUUGCUUCCUGUGUGUUAUCUCUGCAGGAUACUUGCUUAAAAUAGCAUGCUUCAAUGUCAAAAAUUAUUUUUAUAUUGCAAGUCAAGCUCCUCUUCUUGUUUCUGUGAUAGGUGCUUUUUCAGUAAACCAUAUGCACUUGAUAACCCCAAGUUUUCUGAAAUGUAAGUUUUGUUGGUCUUGAUUUGAGAUUUUUCUUUAAAUUUGUCUACUAUUUGAUGUUGAUACCCAUAAAGUAUUAUGUAUUGCUUUCAAUCAUUUUCUAUUAUGUGUGCAUUAUUUUCUCACUUUCUCUUAGAAUGUGGGUUUGGGCCUAACUCAAUCCCGAAAGCUAGUUCAUUGGGUGAGGGUCCCCCCCCACUUAUACACUCUAUGUUGGCCUUAUUUCUAGCCGAUGUGAGACUUGGGUUUUCUCCGAUACUUUCAUUGAAAUUGUUUGUGUAAGCAUUUGAUCCUGUGGCCCCACCACAAAAAGGAAUCAUAUAUUCAUUCUUUCUUUUGGUCUUCGUUUUGUUGCCAUUUGUCACAAAAUUUAUCAAUGUUAUGUUGGUAGCUUUUGUUAAGAGAUUGUAAAGGCAAAUAUUACAAGAAAGGGAGUUGAAUUGUGAUUUUAGUAAUUUUUAAGUCUUUUCACAAUUAAAGAUUUUUUAUCUGAAACAAAAACUUUGUAGAAACAAAUAACAGAUCUUUUGAAAAAAAAAAAAAACUUAGACGGAACAAAACAAAUACAUGAAACACAACAUGUUUACAAAAGCCUAAAAACCAAUUUAGACCUUGGGUUAGUUGAAAGCAAAAGGAAAGCAAUAAAAAUUAGACACAGAAAUUUAUAUUGAUUCGUCUCUACCACCGAGACUACAUUUACUUCUUAGCAAAAUACCAAGUUUCACUAAUUUCUCACGAGUUACAAGUAUUGUAUCACGACCACUUCUGACUUUACAUAUCAAGUUCUACCCCAAGCUUGAUCAACACCCAGUAUUCUUUGACCUACCAAGCCAUUGUUGGCUCUAUGCAAAUCAAAAUAGAUUUGUGGUUGAGGUUUGCUUAGAGACUAAAUCUAGAAACGUCUUACAAAUGGAUACUAUCAACGCUUAGUCUUUUUCUCUCAAUAUGUUCAAAAUGCUUUGAGAGCUUUUUCUAACUUUACAGGAAUACACAUAAAGCUUUUUGCAGAAAGAAUAAUGAAUGUUUUUAGUACAAGGUUUUUUAAGUCUUCAAAGCUUCUGGUUUAUAUAGGUCUCAUCUUCAAGUAUUCGUUGUCUUACAAUGGGUAGAUUUCUUCACUUAAUCUUCGUGUAAUGAAUAUGACCAUUGGGAGCAUUUAAUGCUUGCAUUAAAUGCACAUCCUUCCCUCAUACAGAAAGUUCACUCUUCAAAGCUUGCGUGUUUGAGAAUUGCAACAGGUAGUCACUUCUUUGUGUCAUAGCAGGUCUUGUGUAGCAAAACUCUUCUUUUGAUAACGAUUGAGGAAUUUCAAACCUUGACUUCAUUUAUUCUUCAUAGGAUUUGACAGAACCUAGGAAAAUGUUUCUGCAAAAGAAAUCUCAAACACAAAGCAUUAAAUGAAGUCUUAAAUGUCAUCUCAAAUGUCAUAUCAAAUCAUGACUCCAUCUGCCAAUCGUCUGAAACAUCAGACACAGAUUUCUUAAGACAUGUUCUAAUAAAGCAUCAGAUAUGAAACAUCAGACACUUGUUUCGCAUAAGACACAAUUUUUAACCUUUGCAUUUGUUUACAUCUAAUCAAAAUAAUUAAGGGUCUUGAUUCGUCUUAAGAUAUAAAUGUCUUUUGACUCAACAGAGAUGUAACAUAAUACCAUUCUUUUUUUUUUUUUUUGUGUUUUGGGAUUGUUGCUUCUUAUUUUCUGGACUUGGUAUGAGAGUCCCAAUGACUAAGUGAUGGGGUGUCAUUGAACCAUCUCCAACCUCACCCAUGCUGUUGAGCAUUAGCCAAAUGAAACGGUUUUCUCCUUACAGGUCCCCAUGGCUUCCUCCCCAAAAUUUUAGCCUCCCUUUUUUAUAAAUUGAGCUUGGUACUCUUAAAUCAAGGAAGGAUCUCGAGCAUUGCAAUAUUUCCCGACCUCAUCUCUAGAAGUAAAAUCCUUGUAUUUACCUCAUUCAAUUGUAAAGUGGCCCUCUACUUCAAUUGUGGCCAAAUGUAUUAAUAGUAAACUGACCUAAAGGAUUGGUUGGUUCCCUUUGAAGCAUGUCCUUCUUUUAGGAUAGACUCCAUGUUUUCCUUUUUCAUGACCCCCAUUCCCUUUCAUUAGUGAGUUGGGCUUGACCCAUUAUGUAUAGAAAAUAGUUUCCUUUUUCAACAUUCUAGUCAUUCUCUCUACUGAUUUGGGCCCAUAGGUCAAAACUGGGCUUAGGUGCUGCAAUUCAAGUUAUGUCCUUCCUUUUCCAUAAUACUCAUGCUGCUUUUGGUUGUAGUGUGUAGCCAUCUUUGCCAAUGUCUUGUGACUCUUGUCUAAAAUAAUCCUAUUGGUCUUUGUAGGAGUUUGGGGUGUUGUCAGAGUAAAAAAGAAAGGUGGCAACAGAUAAGACACAAACAAAAUAAGAAACCUGAUCAUGAAUCCAUGCAAAAGGCAUAAAAUGUGUCGAGAAAAACGAGUGAACAUGUAAAUGAAUCCUUGUGUCUUGACUCCGCAACAGAGACUCUUAUUUAUAGUUAAAUUGAUAAUUGUUAUAGCACACAAAGGCUACAAAAGGCUGUGGUGUUAAAAUGAUUUAUUUGAUUUGAAUACUGCUUGUGGAUUGUCUUAGCUUAUAUUUUUAUGUAAGUUUAUUGUUAAGUGGCGUUCAAUUUUUGAGAGUUGACUAGUAAUUAGUAAUAUAAGAAAGGGUGCAAGUAUCAGCACACUUUCAGGCAAGCUGUUCUCUCUUUCCUAUAACAUCAAGUUGUGGUGUUGGUGUUUUCCCUCGAACCCUUACAUUUUACUUUGGAACAAUCGGUUUCUUGAAGUUGUAAUUGUGAACUGUUUUUUUUUUUUUUUGUGUGUGUUUUAUUGUAAACUGUGUUUGCUAACAUUGGUUUCUUUAUUGUCUUUUAAUCAAAAUUUCAGGGGUACCUGAGAAAGAACCUGCACUGUGCAUUCUGUCGUUGUUGUAAUAAAGUGCAUGUGUUAAAUGGUAGAUGGACAUGCUAUGAGGGUAUAAACUUAAAAUAAGUUCAAUUUUUAAAGCAGAUAAAUCCAAGUAUGGAUUGAUGGUGGUAUACUCUAUUUGAAGCAUGGUGGAAAGCACUCUUUUAGCCAUCAGUGAGACUUUUAGAAGCAUUUCUUUUGUCUGGUGGAUUUCAAUGUUAAUAUGCAAAUAUUGAUAUUGGGGUGAUGAAGUUUUCCUGUUCACAUUAUUGAGAUCUUAAGAUAUACCUUUUUAUUGUAUACUGGGAUUCCCUUGCUGUGGGUGGCACUGCACCAAGAGUCUUGGGAAAGGGUUCAACAUAUGUAUCGGUUUUGUUAUCUCUUAUAGGACUUUGUCAUGGCCCUUUAGGGGCUUAUAUUGGUGACCCGUUUCCUUUUGAUGAAUAUACGAGUAUAAUCGAAGUUUCACCCAUUGAAUAUACGACUCCUAGUGAAAUUUCAUUCAAUUUAAGAAGCCAGUAUAGGGGGAAGUUCUGUUAUUUAAUACUAUUAAUUUAGUUUUACUUGGUCAAAUUUUGUUCAUCUCAUUUCAAUUGCAAUAAUAUUAAAUCAAAUUUUUAGAAGAAAUGUUAAUUUAUUCUAAAAAAUUAAUUGAACAACCCUCCAAAUUAGAAAUAAAAGCCUACAUGAAUGAGUAUUGUAGCAUUUUACAUCCUCAUUUUGGGCCAUGUAAAGUGAGUAGAUUUCCAUUUUGGUCCUUCUAACUCUCUCUCUCUCUCUCUUUUUAAAUUUCAUUCCUAGAAAAUUUGAAAAAAAUGUUUUUGAUUCUUAUUAUCAAGUGACAUCCGUUAGAUUCAAUGAAAGGUCAUGUUACUGUUUAUGUGGUACUAUGUUAACACGUGGCACUUUAAAAAAAAUGGAUAUGAAAAAUAGAGAUUUUUGAAGGAUGAAAAUAAAUUCUUUUACAGGAACCGAAACUAAAAUUUGUUUAUUUUAUAAGAAAAAAAAACAGUAAUUUUAGGGCUUGGGAGUAUUACUGUUUUUUUUUUUUUUUCUGAAUGAGAACAUAUUAAAGCCUAGGAACCUUUAUGAAAGAAGAUACAAGCGAGAUUCGCCUAUAGGGCAUCAGAAAUGAAAUCAAGAAUUACAUUAAAAAUUCUUAAUGGCACCUGAAUGCCUAGACCAUUUGCCAAGACGCUACUUCACCAUAAGUCAAGAUAAACAUUGUUUUGAAAGGACUCUGCGAAAUCGCUUAACACUUUAACAAAAAUGCACUUUUGAUUUAACUUUUCACCUGCCGAUGUAUCAAUUGUGUUAUGCUUUUGCAAAAGAGCGUGAGUCAAAGUAUUGUUUGGAACAAUACAUAAUAGGUCUUUAUACUGGUUUGUAUGAGACGUGAUAGGCUCCUUUGUGCUGGCUUCCUCUCCAAUUGAAGAGAAUGGAUUCGAAUGCUCAAUCAAGCAAUAGCAAUUCGAGCUACAGCUAGGGAGUCUCACUCAAUCAACCCAAUGGCAUGAUGUUCUGCUUAAUGGGCUUGUUUUGUUCUCGCGGAUGGACUGAAGAACCCUAAAUAAAGGGUACCCUCGUAGGUCGGUACACAGUUUUGUGUAUGACAUAAAUAGGUCUAUACACAGUUUUGUGACAUAAUCAGCUUAUAGAAUAAGUAAUGGGCAAGCAUUAAAAUUGCAAGAAAUAGAAAUUGCAAGACAUAAGUUUUUAGAGGAUUUCAUUAAAUAAUUAUGAUAGUGGUGUUCCUUUUAUAUUGUGACCUCAGUGCGCCUUGCUAAAACCUCUUCAACCAAAAUCCAUUAUUUUUUACUUGGGAAAAAUGACUGAAGUAGAAAAAGAGUAUGAUACAUGGUUUUAACUGAAGUAUGGUUUCAAAUGUGUUGCAUUCUAGGUCCUUGGAAUGACCUUUCCAGCAAGCUCUUCAAGUCAAAAAGCAUCAUUCUAUAGUAUUGCGAUGACUCUAAAGGGUCUUCUUAGUUUGGGGUGAGCUUCCCUUUAUUAUAGUCUUUUCUUGCUUCUCCCUUCAUCCUCCAAACGAGAUCUCCAACUCAGAAUUCUCCCCUUUUCAGUUUUGACCCGUGCUUCUGAGUUGCUCUCCUUUUGCAAACUUCCUCCUCAAUAUAAGCGUGAUUUCUCACCUUGUCAAUCAUGUACAAUUCGAAAGCAAGGUUUUCAUUGUUGAGUGCCUCAUCAAAAUGGGUUCUUCUUAUUAAGGGUUCAUCAACUUCCACAGGAAUUAUGGCAUUAGUGCCAUGUGUCAAUCGGAAAGGAGUUUCCUUCGUCGUGGAUUAAGGAGUGUAGUGAUAUGCUCACAUAAUACUAGGCAAUUCUUCAACCCAAAGUCCUUUUGCUUUCUUCAUCUCGCUCAAAAUGAUCUUGUUCGCUGCUUCUGCUUGUUCAAUGGUUUGAGGGUGUUAGACAAAAGACAACAAAUUUUUUAUGCUGAGCUCCUGCAGGAACUGGUCAUACCCCUUAUCUACGAAUUGUUUGUUGUUAUCAAUGACUUUGGAAAAGGGAAGGCCAUGUAUGCAAAUUAGCAACUUCCAUGUGAACUUCUGAAUUUUUUGGGCAGUGAUUCUUGCAAGUGGCUUCACCUUGAUCUAUUUGGUGAAAUAGUUUAUUGCCACUGAUAGGAACUUUACCUGUCCCUUCGCAAUUGAGAAAGCUCCUAGGAUGUCCAUGCCCUAGAAUGCAAAUGACCACGUUGGGUGUAUGUUGUGCAACUUCUCAGGUAGAGCAUGAUGGAGGUUGCUAAAUUAUUGGCAUUUUGUACAUUUCUUCGAAUACUCCAUGUAGUCAGUUUGCAAUGUCGGCCAAUAGUAACCAACUUAGAGGACCCGAGCUGCCAUGCUUCUUCCUCCUGAAUGAAAACCAUAAAUGCUUUUGUGUAUCUCCUCUAUAAUGCAUUGUGCAUCCUUUUUAUCUACGCAUUUCAACAGUGGUGUGGAGACUCCUCAUCAAAAGAUUUCUUCAUCAAAUACGGCAUAGUAGGCUAAUUUCAGCUUCACCUUCCUGGCUUCGCUGUUGUCACUUGGUAGUUGGUCAUUUACUAAGUAUUUCCAUAUGACGUUCAUCCAAGAAUCUAUGCUUGGGGCAGCCAGAGUCUCCUGAAUGCAUGUUCUAUGCAGACCUUGCCUCUUAGAGCUUGUCAAUCUUGACAAGACAUCGACUCUAUCAUUGUCUUCCUGAAACAUGUGAAAGAGUUCAUGUUCCUCAAAGAAGUCAAGCAAGUGCUUUGUUAGAUGGUAGUAUUUUUGCAUUUGUGGAUCCUUGGCUUGGAAUUCUCCUUUCACCUACUAGUGACGAGCUCGGAAUCACUCCUACAUCGUAUCUUUUUCACUCUAACCUCAUUUUCCAAUUUAAGGCAUGCGAUCAAAGCCUCAUAUUCAACUUGAUUGUUAAAGGUUUUAAAAUCGAACCUUAAUGGCUGCUCAAGAGAGAUGUCUCCUGGUCCUUCAAGUGUAAUUCCUGCUCCACUGCCCUUUGUAUUGCAUGCUUUGUCAAUGUAGAACAUCCACCAGUCUCCACCAUCAAUGCUACUGGGAUCGGUAGAGGGGGAAAGUUCUACAAUGAAAUCAGCCAAGCAUUGAGCUUUGAUAGGCCCAUGAGCCUUAAACUUUAAGCCAAACUCGAACAGCUCCACAAACCAUGCAACCAUCCUUCCAAUUAGUUAUGGCUUACAAAGAAUUGGCCUAAUAGGGUGAUCGGUCUUGACUUUGAUUUAGUGGCUUUGGAAAUGCGAGCGCAACCUCCUUGUGGAUUUCACCAACAAUGAAGCCAUUUUUUUUUCUUUUGAUAUCUUUUCUCUGCCCCAUGUAAGACCGGCUAGUGAAGUAGAUUAACAUUUGUCUUUCGGCACCCUCCUACAUCAAUACUGAACUGGUGGAUGUGUUAGAAACAAAUAAGAAAAGUAAAAGUUUAGCACCUGAUGUAGGUCGGGUUAGGAUAGGAGGAGUCACUAGGAAAUUCUUGAACUUUGUAAACAUAUUUUUUCACUCUUCAUUCCAAUCAAACUCAUCUUGUGAUUUCUUCAGCAGCUUGAAGAAUGACUUUGCUUUCUCUGCCAUCUUGGGUAAGAAUCGAGAAGCUAGCUUUCUAGUUAACUUCUAGACUUCAAUUACAUUUUAUGGAUUUCUCAUUGCUAUGACGGCUUCACAUUUAUCUGGGUUUGCCUCUAUUCCCUUAUAUGUUAGCAUAAAACCAAAAAAUUUACCUCUUUCAACCCUGAAGGUGCAUUUCUUGAGGUUGAGCCUCAUGUUAUGCUUUUUGAGUUCCGUAAAGAUCUUAGCUACGUCACCAGCAUGUUGGUUGGGAAAGGAUGACUUCACCACCAUAUCAUCUACGUACACUUCCACAUUUCAUUUGAUCUGCUUUUUGAAGACCUUAUCCAUGAGCCUCUGAUAUGUUGCACCUGCGUUCUUGAGGCCGAAGGGCAUAACUUUGUAACACAAGUUAGCUGCAUCAGUGAUGAAGGUUAUCUUUUCUUAAUUGAGAGAGUACAUUUUCAUCAGGUUGUAGCCUGAAUAGGCAUCCAAAAAAUUGAGCAGUCUAAAGCCACAUGCUCCAUCUACUAAUCUACCAUUGCUUAGCAAACGAUAGGCAUCCUUGGGACAAGCUCUGUUGAGGUCAGUGUAGUCUACACACAUUCUCUACUUCCCUGUUGCCUUCUUUACCAUGACCACGUUGGCUAACCAAGUGGUGUAGUUCACUUCUUGGAUGAAGUCAGCCUUCAAUAAUUUUCAGGUUCUGCUUCUAUGGCCUUCUACCUUUCCUCUCCAAUUUUGCGUUUUCUCUAGGCCACAGGCUUAGCCUGAAAGAAAAUGGCGAGUUUAUGGAAAAUGAAGUUUGGAUCAAUGUCUAGCAUAUCAAAGGCAUUCCAAGCAGACAGGUCGGUACUUGCAAGGAGCACAUACUCUAUUUCUUUUCGUAUGGUAUCUUCCAUUUGCUUGCCAAUCUUAGUGCACUGAUGUGCCUCCUUGCCAAUUUGAAAAGGUGUGACAUCUUAAAUCCGGGUGGAUCACCGAUCUUCAAAGUCUACACAUGGGUCUAGAUCCUCUAAAGCACUGAUGAAUGCAUUGACACUAGAGGUUGAUGCCUUACUCACGUCCUCCCUUACGCUGUAUAGUUCAAUCUUGCAACUCUUCACAUAACAUUCUCUUACAUCCACUUGAUUAGCUUUAACGAUGAUGAUCUCUCCUGUUAAUGAUGGGAAUAUCAUGGUUAGGUGCAUUGUGGAAAUAAUGGCUCCAAUUAUGUUUAGAAAGGGUAUCUUAAGAAGAACAUUGUAUGAGGUAUCUGCGUCUACUAACUCAUAUGGGACCAUUAAGGAUUGAGAGAACUUGUUUGAGCCGAAAGUUGUUAGCAUAUCCACUUUACCUCUAGUAUGUACGCAAUCACCUAGAAAACCUAUCAUUGGUUUCUCGUGAGGUUGUAUAAGAUUGUGAGAGAUACAAAUUUUUUCAAACACAUACCAAUACAAAAUAUUGGCUCCACUUCCCUGGUCAAUAAGUGUUUUUCGGAUUGCCCAACUAGUAAUAACAAUCAUUGCCACCAUAGGAUCAUCCGAGUGGAAUCACUUCCAAUGAAGUUCGCGUUUGUGAACAUAAUGGCUGGUAGAGAUUGACAUGGUGUCUCCUCAGUUUGUACGAAGUUGAUGCUCUUGAGUGCUCGUAGAUGACAUUUCCUGGAUGAGUUCGUAUAACCUCUGCCAACGAAACCACCAACAGUUAUGUUGAUGACUCCUCAAACUUCUCCUUGGGGGUUUUCUUGUUGUCUUUGUUCGCCUUCCUCGACUUGUUGUUGGUUGUUAUUACCACAUCUUCUUGCAUAGCCACCCUUGUAACCACCUCUACGGCUACUUCUUCCUCCCUGCUAUACACCACGAUUAUAAUUAUUUCCUCGAAUGAAAUCAUUUAGACAUCCUUUUUGGACCAAUUCCUCGAUUUUAUCUUUCAAAACUAUACGUUCUUCUAUAGAAUAGCCAUAGUUUUGAUGAUAUCUACAUUGUUUGGUGCGGUCUGCUUGACUGUGGGAGCCUGUUGGUUGGGGGAAUGCAAGUAUUUCUGCAUUGAAUGCUUCUUCUAGUAUGCAUGCUCAGCCAUAGUUUCAACUGUCUUGGUUGUCUCUUAAAGUCUAUCUCCUUAACAGGUGUGAGCUUUUCUUUGUUGGAAUCAGGCUUCUCUUGAUCUCACCCUCUGACCUUGUCAUGGUACUCGAACAACUCUUCCAUUUGGAUAGAACCGAUUGCACGAUGUCCCAGUUCAUCCAUUUUUCUGGGUCAUUUCUUGCACAAACUACCUACAAUUGCUCUAGGCUUGAGUGUUGCUAUCAUAGAGUGAAAGGCUAAUCCAGGUUCGAGGUCUUGGAUUUUGACUGCAAUUUGUGUAAAUUUAUAAGUUAUAUCGACGUCGAAUGAUGCAGCUGACAUGUGGCAUACUGAGCAUUGAAGCAUUCGACUAGUGUGUUGAAUGUAUUGAUCGUUCGGGGAGGGAGUUGAUGCCACCAUGUCAGAGCGGGUCCCUCCAAAGAACUCGGGAAAACCCUGCAUAAAAUGGUAUCAUCGUUAGUGAAUAAGUUUACCUACGUAAUAUAUGCUUCUGAGUGUUCAUUAGGAUCCGUGGUUUUGACAUAUUGAUUGAUGUUCAGAGGCUUCCAUCCCAAGGGUAAAGGAGUCUCGAUAAUUCCGUUGACAAAAGGAUGUCGUCGAAGCAACUCGGCGGGCUAACUAUGGGACCUCUCUGGUGUAAUCGCCCCAUGGUGUUUGUUUGACGAUUAUUGUUAUGUGAUGAGCAUUUUAUCUUCGAUGCAGCGAGGUGGGUUGGGAUCGUGUUCUAUGUAUUUGUGUUCGAAUUCUGCAAUUGGGCUCGGAUGAGAUCAUUCUCUUCACAUAAGGCUUGUAAGUCUACCUCCUGCUUUUGUUGCAAGGAGGCCAUUUCUUCUUCUGUAGUGCUUCUAAUUGCUCCUGGAAACCUUGUUUUGUUGAACUCUCUUCCAUGUAGUCAACCAUAGUGUCGAAUUCCUGAUCAAUACCAUAUAUUUGGUGUCCAAAGAAAAUUUCACUUUGGCCCCACGGUGAGUGUCAAAUGUUCUUAUCACUCUCAGAAUGUUCUGACUUGUACUCUAUCUUCCUCGUCUCAAUCUGAGCUCCUUCUCUAAUGGUGGAGGAGCACCACCUGAAAAGAGAUUUUUUGGUGAGUUUAGCGAGAAAAUAAAUGUUACUUACUUGUCUUUGCUACUAUUAACAGGAGAGGACCAUUACCAAGUUGAUAAUGGUUCACCGGGACCCAUACUAGAUAGUGGUGGGUUGGUUAAAACCAUGGUAGAUAGUGGUGAUUGAGGACCCCCUUGUAGUGGGACCCAUAUGGUACAAGAUUGAAAAAAUUAAUUAUGGACAUCAUUUUUUUUACUUACAUUAAAGUUGGAUUAGAGCCAUUCAAAAAAGAAUGAAGUUGGAUUAUAAAUUAAAUUCUUAAUUAAAAGCUAACUAUACUAUUUUUAGUGUUUUCAAUUUUUAUUUCAGAGAGCUCUAUAGCCAUCUUGUGUACGUUUUGAUCUCAUAACCUUAGAUUUCAAUUUCAAAAAAUUAAUCAAUCCUAAAACUAUAUCACACACUGAAAAUAAAAUAAUAAUGAUAAUAAUAUAUUAAUAACCAAAGUCGAUGGACGUAACAAGGAUAUCAAAAUCAAAUCCUUAUUUCUCACUAACACCUACAAAAUAACGAUUCAAUAUUUAAAUAGCAUAAAAUAUCUCUAUUGGUAUUCACAUAUCAACUCAUAAUAAUCACCACUCCAUAACGUAGUAUAAAAGCAGAAACAAUGAAUGUAUGUGCUGAACGAAUCAAUAAUAUGUUCACGCGAAAUCCACAAGAAAAUGAAAAUUCGGAAUCAUUAGAUUCAGUGCUUGAAGAUGGCGAACAUUGACAACACGACCGAAGCUCCAAUCACGGCCAUCGAACUCGAAACGGAUCCGGCAACUCCGACAUCGGGUCCCUGCGCAGGCGCCGGAGACAAAUCUUGAGCGGUGGCGGCGGCGAAGAAAAGCGCCACAAUAAGAGCAAUGACAAAGGACUUGAAAGAGGUUGCUUGAGAUGCCAUUGUGAAUAAAAAAGAUGAUAAUAUAGUGAAUAUGUAAAGAGGAAGAGAAAACAAUGAAGAAAGUUUUUGAAGAUGUUAGGGUUUUUUCUUAAUGUGUAAGAGUCAAGGGAGAAAAGGGUAUUUAUAGAGAUUGUGAGAAUGUGUGUGGGGCCCACGGAAACGUGGGCAGCUGGAAGGCGAGGAGCAUGUGUGGGUGUAUUGAGGUGUGAAUGAAUGGUGGUGAGUUGGUGGAGAUUCGAUGUUAGGGUUUCACAAUGCUUUACGAUUUUUCAAAUGAUUGGUGGUGCAUGUAGUAAAGAAAGAGAUCUAGUUUUAAACAGAAGACAUUGGUUUCAAGUUUCAAUUCAAUUUGGUAUCAAAGUUAACAGCUAACGUUUCUAUAAUUAAUUAGGUGUUUGGUGAGCGAAGAUUUUAGUGUCCAGAUGGUAAUGUGAAUAAUAAAAUAUAAAGCACAAAUAAUAUAUUUGUAAACUAUAAACAAUUAAAUUAAUUAUGUAUGUUUAGUUUAGUUGGUUAAGCAAUAUAAUUGAAUGUUUGUAAUUUUUUAAGUAUAGGGUUUCUUCUCCUGCUUUUGCAUAAAAGAAAUCGAAUACAAAAAUAAGAAGAAAAAAAUUUAAAAUUUUAAGAAUACAAGAUAGAAGACAGAGAGAAAAAAACAAAGACCCAUAACUACCAUAGUGAACUUUUAAUUAAUAGGAUAAAAAUGAAAUAGAAAAAUAAGUGAAUUUAUGAUUAUAAUUUUUCUAAAUCGACUCGUAACAGUAAAAAAAAAAAAAACUUUAGUAUUUUUAGUGUCUUCAUUUCUAGGAGAUUUAUAGCCAUUUUGUGUGAUUUAAUUUCUAUCUCAACAAAUUGGUAGCGGUUGCUUGAGCUAACCUUCCUAAUCAAUUGAAUUAUUAACAUGAAAUUGAAUUUACAAAUAACGUCCAAAAUUUAAUACUAAUAUUUCAAUAGAGGAAUAAUUGCAGCUUGAAACCAUUUUAUCAUUAGAAAAAGUAAUGUUUGCACUGACCGUAUAAAUGACUUUUACUCUAUCAUUUAAUUAUAAUUAGUCAUAUAUGAUUUUUUUUAUUUAUAAAAACUACCUUAAAAAAUAUCUCAACUAUGAUGUUUUUUUAUAUGGAACUAUGAUUGUUAAUUGAUUCAAAAUAUAAAACUUUUUAUUCUAAGAAUGCAUAACAUUAAACUCUUUUCACAAUUUUAAUAAAACAUUGUUUACCUCAAUUUAAUUUCUUCGUUCAACUUGUAAACAUUAGACAUUUCUUGAAGCUCGAUCUUUCUCCUGAUGGCUAAGAGAUAGCAUGAACAAUAGAAGAACUUGUUUCAUCCAUCAAUAAAUAUUUCAUAGUACAUUUUACAUCUUUUCUUUUAUAUAUUUCUAGAUAGUAGAUAAAAACAAAAAUAGGAAACUUCUAGAGCUUCAAAAAUAGUUAUUAAAUUGUUAGGACCAUAUAAAAACAUUUUUCUUAAAAUUGUUGUUAAUAUAUAUAUAUAUAUAACGAAUAAUAAAUAUUUUUUUAUAAUCAUUUAUGUAAAUUCAAUAUAUUCUACACAUACAGAGGAACACAUAAAGUUGUACAUGGUAAAAAAAAAAUUGUUGAAAUAGUUUGUUUGCAAAUUUCCUAAAACUAUUCAUAGCUUCUUCUCUCCAUUGAAAUUAUAGCUCAUUAUCGAACUUCUUGAAGAGAUAAAAGAGAACCAUGAUAUAUCUUUUUUAUUAGAGGUUGAAUCAAUCAUCAAAGGCUUUUCAAGUUCUUUGUAAUUAUUGCCUCUAAUUCUAUCUAUCUAAAAGAAACAAAUACUUAAUUUGUCAAUAUCAAUAAAAGUAAUUUACUUAAUUAAUUUAAAAUAAUAAUAUCAUCAAUUUAAAUUUUAUUAAAAAAAAUAUUCAUAACAUUAAAUUAUUUAAGUGCAGAAUAAUAUUAUGCCAAUUAAUCUAUAUAUUCAUUGGUAAGUGGUGGUCGGGGUUUGAAUGAUGGGUCCCUUUCUUUCUUUCUCUUAUUCUCCCGAUCAUUGGCGGAUGCACCUUAUAAUUGCCCCACAAGAUUUUUUUUGUUUGAUAAUGUAUAUAAAAAAUAUUUGCCCUCAUAAAUUAUAUAUUGUCUUCAUUGGAUUUUUUUAAUCCAAAAUCCAAACAAACAUAAUACAUUCAAUAUAAAAAUUACAUGCUUAAGCCCAAACCAUUAAGCCCAAUUUUCAUUAUUGUUGCAGUAACAAAAAAAAUACAUCACACAUUACAUAAAACACAUCGUUUUUCAUGUAACAUCCCAAAAAUAAUCUAAUAGUUAUUUAGAUAAAGAUUAUCUAAAUAUAUAUUUUAGUAAAGGAAAAAAUAGAUUAAAUUAUUUGAAUAUAUUAAAUUGUUAUAUUUUUUGAAAAUAUAUUAGUAUAGUAAUAUAUUAGAUUGGAUAAAGAUUAUAAAAAUAAGAGAUAAAGAAAUAUUGGUUAAACAAGUCUAAAAAGAUAAUUUCAAAUUACGUACAAUGCUUAUAUAAGGAUAGACGGUUCUUUUUCCUAGGCUUACAUGAAUAAUUAGUCUCUUUUGACAUUAGUGGGUUGCUCAAAGAUUGAGGAGAAGAAAGAAAGCGGAGAAAUUCUAUUGAAACAAAAAUAAUGAAGAACUUGAAUUACUUGUUUCAAGAUUAUACCUUUUCAAAACUUGCAUGGUAUAAUUCUUUUAGGAGCAUUUUUCUUUUAUUGUGUUCUUGAUAUAAAGAAUUUAUACUUAAUGAUGUUUUAAUGUUGAUUAUUUCAAUGAAGGGCAUUACAUUUUACACACUAAAUUAGUAACUUAUCACUCACGUUUGAUUGCAAUGUGAAUCGUCUCUUACUCCUUCUAACCCUCCCAAUUCUCAAAAUGACCAAACAUUACUAUCCCUCACCCUAAAUCACUCAGUCACUCACUUACACUUUUUUUAUUCAUUUUUCCUAAAUAUAAUUAGAUUUAAUCCUUAAACUUAUUCAAUUAUUCAUGUUCAUGGAAUCACAGUGAUCUCACUCGUGGAUGUGUGUGUUGGGUGCAUUUGUAGCAUUGUGGAGUUGUGGUCUUUGUGAAAUAGCGGUAAGACUUUUAUAUAAAAAAAAAGGUCUUUUACUCUUUUCAAAUUUUUAAUAUAAAUUAUUGAUGAGAUUUAACAUAGUGUAGGGGGUUUUAUUUGUAAGCAAUAGAGAGAUUAGCUUUAUUUUGUUUUUUAGCUUUUUUUUUGUAGUGUGCUGAAAAUGUUUUUUUUUUUUAAAAAAAAGGGAUUCCACAACACCAUUAGAGUCAUUUUGCAUUUGAUAAGGAAAAGUUAAUUUGUUUGGCUAAGUUUUAUCCAUAAGAAUUUUCUUGUGUGGAACUUAUGUGACUUGAAAGUCAACUUAAAAUUUUUGUUAGAGAUGCUCAGUCUGAUGAUCAGUUUUUAAAGUUAAAAAGGAUUGUUGAUCUUUCUCAAAUGUUGGUGAAAACUAAAAAACAUAUUGUGUAUCCAAUGGUAUACUUGUUCAUGAAGUUAGCUUUGAUUUUGACUGUGGCAACUGCAACAGUUGAAAGAUGUUUCUAUGCAAUGAAUUUCAUAAAAAAAUAUAAUAUAGAAUCGCAUGGGGGAUGAAUGGUUGAAUGAUUGUUUGGUUACAUACAUAGAGAGAAAUAUUUUUGAUAGUAUUGACAAUGAAAAAAUCAUAGAACAUUUUCAAAUUAUGAAAAUGCAUAAAAGACAAUUGUAAUUUGUAGAAACUUAAAUACUUUAGAUUUCUUUUAUCACAAUAUUAUAUAUUUUGUAAUAUCUUUUGAUAUUUUACUUUUGUGAAAAUAUUAUAAAUUAUUUCUUUCUCUCACUAAGAAAAAUUUAUGGAUUCGUUAAUGCUCGCAAUGGUUCAUCUCUUCAUAGACUCAAUGUCACUGCUACCAAUAAUGCCUCCAAAAUUUGUCAUAAUCAAUAAUCUCUCCUCUUUGCUCAGCCAACUUGUUGCCAGCCUAUCCAAUUUCGACCUUGCUCUAACUAUGUAUGAGAUCUUCAUUGUAGUGUGUCUCACUUCCUCCAACAAGCUUCUUAGAUCUGUCAGAUCCAAGCCCAGAUCUAAGUCUAGAGUUAAAAGUAGUAUUAGAGGAAGUUGCUCAACUUCCCCAACCUCCAACACUAAGUUUCCUUCGUCGGUGGAGACGUCAAGGAGUUCAUGUUGAUUCAUUCCUCUAUCGACAACAAGAUUCAGGCCAUUUGCAAAAGGUUGACCGAGUUGUGGAAACAAGGAAAAAUCUAGUUACGUGCAUGGAAAUUUGAACCCAAAACCAAAGAUUUGAGAAUAAUUUGUUUCUUUGAUUUGAUUUUGGUUGAUUUCUUGUCUUGGUGUGAAUAAUGCAUUUCUUUGAAUUUUUUUUUCCUAGAUUUGAUUUUGGAGAUAGGGAGUACAAUUUUAUGUUAGGAAAACAAUUUCUAGUAGCUAAAAUCAUUAAUGAGACAUAAGUUUCGGGACAAAGUCAAAAUUUAAUUCAAGAACUUAAAAUAAAAUUUAUCCUUCAAACUGGUGAUAAAAAAUAUGAUUUCCAAAAACAAUAGUGUGAUUGUUGAUAUUUCAAAUAAAAGAACAAUAAGCAGCAAAAUCAAUAUUCCCCCAAACUUGCAAGAAUCUGCGAUGAGUGCUAAUAAAAAUAGAGAAAAACCAAAACCACAAAAUAUGUGCUAGAGACACACAAAUUUUAAUGUGGAAACCCCCUCUAUGUAAGACCAAAGAAAUAACUUCACUAUGAUCAACAAAUGGUACAUGAAGGUCUCCAACAAGUAUGCACAACAUUCAUACAAUCAAACAAAUCAAGUAAAGCACCAAUGCUUACAAAUAAGGAACAAAAGGAUGAAAAGCCCCAUAUACAGAGAAGAAAAGUGCAAAGAACUAUCUCCCUCUCUAGACCUUGUUACAUCAAUCCAACCAAACAAAAUGAAGCAUCACAUAUGCUAAAUCUAUUAUCCAAACGAUUAAUGAAUCUGCACUUGCAAUCCGAAUAACAGUUGUCUGGUGGGUGUGAGAAAAUCUUUAUGUUUUGUCCUUUUCUCUACUUUCUCAUUGUUUGUUGCAAUCUCACUCAGUAAAAUGAGCCUCCCUUCUUACCUUAACGUGACCCCUCUCCAUUAGGUUAAGUGAGACAUAAUGGGCCAAUUUAUUUAGGUUUUUUUUCACAUAAGAAGGGAGCCAAAACCCAAUAAGAAAGAUUCAAGAUAUUUGUAAGUCCCACCAUAUUGGUGAAGUCCACAAACACCUUGAAUAUUUCUCUUUCCAUCUAAAAAAUUUCAAUACUAAAAAGGAGCUAGACCCUUGUUAACUACCUUGGUCUUAAGACUUGAAUGCAUAUUAGAAUGAUGAGUUUUGAUGGGAGAAAAGAAACUUAAAAAAUGCUUCCUAGUUCAAUUGCAUUCUAUUGAUUUUCUUUUGCUAAAUAUUGAGGUUGAUAAUAACUUUACACUUGAAGGAUAUUUGGCUUGCUGAAUGAUCAAAUACUCAUUCCUUCUUGUAACAGCUGAAAGAUAUUUCUUUGCAAUGAAUUUCAUGAAGAAUAUAAUACAGAAUCGCAUGGGAAAUGAAUGAUUGAAUGAUUGUUUGGUUACAUACAUAGAGAAAACUAAUUUUAAUAGUAUUGACAAUGAAAAAAUCAUGAAACUUUCUCAAAUUAUGAAAAUGUGUAGAAAAUAAUUGUAAUUUAUAGAAGACAAACUUUUUUUUGUAGUGCGCUAAAAAUGGUUCAUCUCUUCAUAGACUCAACUUCAAUGCUACCAACAACGCCUCCAAAAUUUGUCAUCAUCAACAAUCUCUCCUCUUUGCUCAGCCAACUUGAGAUGGAGUCAAAAUUUAAUUCAAAAACUUAAAAUAAAAUUUUAAAAAAGUUCAAAAACUAAAAACAUAAUUUACUCUAUUUAUUAAUAGACUUGAUUGCAAAUUAAGAAUAUAAAAUAUUUAUAAUUAGUAGGUUAUGUAAAUAAAAGAAAAGUCAAUAUUAAGAAAUUGUUCAAAAGUUAUAUCUACGAACCGUUGGAGUGGAAAGGUCAAUAUUAAUCAAUUGUUCAAAAGUUUGUCUUGCCACUCAAGAUUAUGUCCAAAUCAAUUUCACUUUUUACCAUAGAGAAAAGAAACCCCAAACGAUUCUAUAAAUUCUUCUGUUAACUAACAAAAAUUCAUUAUUGAUUGAAAAAGCUUUCUAAGACUUCUUCACACACAAUUUCACUUGAAUUACAUCAGAACCAACUAGUAUUACUAAAAAAAUCAACAUAUUAUCUGUAACAUGAAGGGGGGAACAGAAAUAAAAGCUAAUCAAUCAUAAAUUUGGCAAACAUGUACUACAUUAGAGACUGAGACUGAAAUCAAAAUAAUAAUCACUGAAGAAGGAUACAAGAAUUUUUGGAUCUCAUUUCUCACUAACACCUAUAACAAAUGAUUUUAUACAUAAACAAUUAAAAUCUCUCUCUCUCUCUCUCUCUCUCUCUCUCUCUCUCAAGUAUACAUAGAUCAACAUCAACGCGUAAUAAUCAUCACUCCGUAACGAAUUACAGUAUAAAUCAACAACAAUAAACGUCUAUGUGUAGAACGAAUCAAUAACGCUCACACGAAAUCCACAGCAAAAUAAAAAAUCGGCAUCGUGACAUUCAGUGCUUGAAGAUGGCGAGCAUUGACAGCACAACCGAAGCUCCAAUCACGGCCACCGAGCUCGAAACGGAUCCGGCUGCUCCGGCAUCGGGUCCCGGUGCCGGCGCCGGAGACAAAUCCUGAGCGGAGGCGGCGGCGGCGGCGAAGAAAAGCGCCACGAUGAUAACGGUGGCGAAGGACUUGAAGGUGAUUGCUUGAGAUGCCAUGCUGAGAGAGAGAGAGAGAAAGUGAAUAAUAAUUUAAGAUUUGAAGGUGUUAGAGAGAGAUUUUUCUUCUUUUCUGUGUGAGAGUAGAGGGAGAGAGUGAGGGUAUUUAUAGUGAUUAUGGGAAGGCGCGUGGGGCCCACGGAAACGUGGACACCUGGAAGGUGAGGAACAUGUGUGGUGUAUUGUGAACGAAUGACAGUGAUUUGGUGAGAGAGAGAGAUUAUUUUCUUUUUUGGACUUGGUUUUUUUAUUAUUUCUUUUUUAGUUAUUUUCGUGUUAUUCUUUGAAAAUCCGAAACUAAGUGAACAAUAGCGAAAUAAUUGAAAAAGGGAUAGCAGAAAAAUUAAUUUGUUCUUUUUUCUACGAUUCGGUGCUGUGCGUUUUGCUUUGGUUAAACAACCGGAGAUUAUUGUUGCUUGUUCUCUUUUUCUUUGGGCCAUUACUUCGGUAAACUAGUGGUCCAUUAUAGACUAUUAUUAUUCAUCCUUAGAUUAAUCAAUUACACAGAUUUAAAAUAAAUUUUGAUUUUGAUUUUAUUGGUUUAAAAAUGAAAACAAAAUCAAAUGCGUAACAAUAAUGGUGUUCAUGAAAUUCGUGGUUGCAUUAGAUUAUGUCAGGUUAUAUUUUAUUUAUAUCAAUGUGGAUAUAAAUAUUAGAUAACCCAAGUAAAACAACCCAAAACAAUGUUUCCUUACAACCAUAUGGAGGCAUUUUAAUGCUGUUCCAUGUCCUCACAUUCGUAACAUUCAUUCCACACUUUGGAGGCCAAAUCACAGGAUAAAAAGAUGUUGAGUGGAGUGGCAAUAUUGAAGGCAGAUUGGGCAAUGGUAAUCUGAGUCCGUGAUGAUGAUGUUGGGUUUUCUCAAAUUAAUUUUCCUUUAUUGGGAGUUUAACCCCAAACUAGUGGGGCAGAUUCAAGAUCCUAAAAUAAAUGAAUACAAAUUAUAAAAAAUAAAAUCAGUAGAUUCAAUUAUAUAAAUAUAAAUAAAAUAAAAUAUAAAAAUAUAAGAUUUUAUUUAUAAAUUUAGUGAAUUUAAAAAAAUGAGGAGUGUAAAUACACACCCUCACAUGACUGUAGGUCCGCUACUACCUUAAAGGCUCUCCACAACAACAUAAAGGCCUUGUUAGGAAUAUUAACCUGCCAUAAAUCCUUGAAGAUAUCAUGUUGUCUCCACCACAGCUUCUUCCUCAUGGAUCAAUUUAUAAACCUAGGUGGUCGAGUAACGGGAAGGCCUUCCAGCAAUAUCGGGAAGGCCUUCCAGCAAUAUUAGGAUCAUCUCCGAGGUGUUCACUUGCAUGCACUCUUUCCAAAAUCACUGAAAAUUGUUGGAAUAGGAUCAUCUCCCUUUCAAGCAUGCUUCUUCUCCAUUUAAACUCCCAACACCAUAAAUUAUCCCUCCAACCUCCCAUGAUACCAAUAAUGUUAUCCUUUUGAUCCCAUAAAAGGAGCAACCUAGGAAAUAAAUUCGCUAAUUUUUCUCCCUCCACCCAUUCAUCCUUCCAAAAUCUUAUUUUCUCCCCACUACCAAACUUUCACUCCAAACUCUUUGCAAACCAUUUUUAACUGUAACAUUUGUCUUAACUCAUUAGCAAGAUAUAUAAGUCAAAUUGAAAUUAUCCAUCUUUAAAAUCAACUCUUCAAAGUCAAUUUGAAUAUAUUAAUUGAUGAGGUCUAAUUCAGUUAGCUAAAUAAGAUUUAUGAAUUAUUAUAAAUAAUAUGAUAUCUAUCUUUAAUUCAUACGGAUUAAAAAAAUAAAUUUAUUGAAUUAAUUCAUUCUUGUAACACUAUUACUAAUAUGAAAUAGCAAUAGCAACAACUGUUGUAGGUGAGGAUGUGAUAUUUUUAAGAGAGGUGAUGAUUGUAUUAUUCCAUAAGUUUUGUGACAUGAGUAUUUGUAUACAAGCCUGCUGUGUAAGUUUGUUACACAAUUAAAGAAAGUUAGGAACCCAUUUUAUAGCAUUUUUUAUUGUUUUUAAAAUUUAUCAAAAAAGCUAAAAUUGUAAGUGAGAUUUAUUAAAUAAUUAAGAAAUGAGACCCGUAACUUUUUUGUAAUUUUUAAUAAAUUUAGUUAAUAUAUAAUAGAUAUAGUAUGUUUAAAAUAGUAUAGUUAAGAGUGUGUUGUUAACAAUUUUGUUUUAAUUUUAUUUUGAAUUUAGUUUGGUCUCUCAUUUAUUCUCCUUUUCAAUUUAGUCUAUAUAAUCUAAUUUGUGUAAUUCCUACUUAGAUCAGGCAAAGUACUUUUUUAGUAUCUCAGGCCAAGGACCACUUUUAAACAACUAUCCAUGUCUUUGGCUUGGAACUUAAAGAGUUGUGGAUCCUCCCAACCCUAAGCAGAGUACUCUAUUAGUAGUUCAACACGAGGAUCUUAGUUGGCACUUGCCCACAACAACUUGUAACAUUUCUCAAAGGAUUAGGAUGUCUAAUAUUUCACAUAUUGGAACGAGUAAUGGCUGGGCAAUCAGAAUUUCCCAACUCAUUACAUCAACUCGACCGAAUUCUAUGGGAUUAGAUCCCUUUUUUUUGGUUUCAAUUAGGACGACUUAGUUGUGGGGUAAAUCACUAAACUAGCCAUAUGUCAAGACAAUGGCUGCAAUUAAAGUUAGGGCUUAGGAUUGAACUCUCACUACUACACAUGUGAUCUUCAACUAUAAUUAAGAUAUACUACCUCUGGUCCUUUUUUCUUUUUUUUUUUUAUAAGAAAUGAGUUAUAGUAUAAAAUACAUUAUCACUUAUUUUUUUAUAUAAAAAAGAUGAAAGAUAAUAUUUUUACAAUAUUUAUUUAUAAAAACAUAUCAAUAUAAAUAUAAAUCAUAUUACACAAGAAAAAAUGUUAUGCGAGAAGUUGAUUAUUAGCACAUAAUUAUUUAACAACUUGUACAUUUUAAGAGAAUAUAUGACAUAGUCUAGGCUGCAGGGAUCACCAGAAACUUUAACUUAUCCUAAAAUUGCACCAGGUCUAAUUUUUAAAUUCCAAACCCAUCAAAAGUCCUUUUAGGUGAAGCUAGGUUGGUGAGACAAGAUAGAUCAUGAACACCACAAAUUUGAUUGCCACAGCCCAUAAGUUUUGAGACAUCCAUACACUUUUAAUACAACUUUUACAAAUUUUUUUUUUAAAUUUAUUAAAAACUAUAAAAUAAUGAGUACAGUUUAUUAAAUAACAAAUGAGACUUAUUAAAUUUUAUAAUUUUUAAUAACUUUAAUUAAUAGUAGAUAGAAUAUUUAAGAAAGUAUGUUCUGUAAAAAAAAAAAAUUCAGAAAGUAUUUUACUAGCAUCUCUAUUUUGAAUUUACCCUUGUCUCCUCAUUCUUUUUCUCCUUUAAAAUUUAGUACUCUAUAUAGUCUAAUUUUUGUAAUUCCUACUUGGAUCCUUCUAGAUCCAGUUUGAGUAUUCUACAAGUAUAAUUUGACCCAAGGAUCUCGCUAAGGUAAGUCCCUAACCCUUGUGAACCUAAAAUGAGUAUUCAAUUAGUAGCUUGGCCCAAGGUCUAGCCUAGAUUGGUACUUCUCCAUUAGAACAUGAAAUCACUCUUAGUAGGUUGAGCCAUUUAAUACACAUAUCGAAUCAAGUAAUAAUUGAAAGAUAAAUUUGAGUCAACCACAAUCAGGACAUUAGAUUCCUCUUUUUUCAACUUGGACAGUCCAAAUGAAAGAUAAAUCUAAAUCAAGCACAAUCAGGACAAUAAUUGUUUUGGUUAAAGAUAAUUCUUGAGACUAACCUAUAAAAGAUAAUUUUGGCCCGAACACUAAUAAAAAGUUGUUUUUUUUUUAGAUUUGUGAAUGGAAAAUCAAGUAUUUACAUGUUAUGAGUUGUCGUUAAUCGAAAAAAUAUCCCCUCCUGUUAUUAAUUUUUUUUAGUACAAGAGAGAAAGUAGGGGGGAAACACCAACACAACACAAUAACACAAUUCAAUACUGUUUGGUAUAGACAAUUCAUUGAUCACUAGACGAUUUAUUAUAUCUUAGAUUUUGAUGAUUAUAAAAAUUAUUGAUGGACUAAUGAGUUGUUGUUAAGUGAACAAGAUCUACUUUGUAAAAAGGUUUACUUGUUAUUAAAUUAAUAUCUACAACUCUAGUAAGUAUGUGUCCACUCUAAAGUGAAAAACGAUUUUGUUAACAUAUAUUCAGUGUCCAAUGCAUUGUUAAAUUAACCUCGUUCACUUAUUGUUAAAACCAGUGUUUACACAUUGAACUAUUUUUUUUAUGUGUCCACUGGACUUAAAUCACUUAUACACUUACUUUAUAUCAUCAUAAGUGACAUCCAAUAAGGUACUCAAGGACAAUGUUAGUUACAAAAGGAAAUGCACUUUCUCACUUUUCAAAUUUCAACUUUGCCUCUCUUUAUUUGAAUUACAAACAUUUGAAUUUAAGAAAAUGACAUAAUAGAAGGAAUUUGUAGAAUAUUUCUCAAGAGUUGCUUUCUCCACAAAAGAGGAGUACAUGUAGUUGUUUGUACAUUUAUUCCUAUCCUCGCUAUUCAGAGCACGUCAUGUGGUUUUGCCUCCAGCUGUGAGACAACUGUCAUUUCAAGGCUUAGCAUUGAUCCCAUAAUGGAUCCUUCACCGAAUUCUAUAAAAGGCGCCUUAUGCUCAAGAAAUCCAAAGGAAUAUACAUCAAGCGAAAUACGAGCACAAGUUCUCGGAAGUGAAGCUCUACUAAAUUAGUGGAUGGCACACUUAGCACUUAAUCUUUGUAUCCUUUGCUAUGUAAAGUUUAUUUGUGUUUAAGCUUAACUAUUUAUCUAGUCUCUGAGUGUCAUUGAAUCAUUGUAUUUAUUCAAAAUUUUGUAUGUGAAAGUCAGAAGUGACUUAGUGUUAAACAAUACUUGGGUAUUCUUAGAUUUAAGGGGAGUUUAAGGGUGUGUCAAGAGUGACAUAGAGAAUACUUGUAUAGUCAGGAGUGGUAGGAUAAAAUACUUGAUUGUAAUCAAAGUUCUUAUUAGUGAAACCCUUUACAGUUGUGUAAAGGAGAACUCGACAUAACUUUAUUUGAGUGAACCAAUAUAAAUCAAGUGUUUCUACUUCUCUCUUAAGAUGUUUGAUUAAGCAUUCUUUUAAGCGUAUCUUGACACACUUGCUCACCAAGUGUUUAUUUAUGAAAAUCAUGUUUUCUUAUUAUUGGACGAUCAAACUUUCUUUUUCAUCAAAACUUGUUUUUGAAGUUAAUGGACGACACUGAUCAUAUUUAUCCUUCAAACUGGUGAUAAAAAAUAUGAUUUCCAAAAAUUUAUUAUCUUUGAUUAACACACUAUUUAACCCUCCCUCCUUUAGUGUGACUGUUGAUAUUUCAAAUAAAAGAACAAUAAGCUGCAAAAUCAAUAUUCCCCCAAACUUGCAAGAAUCUGCGAGGAACUCCAAUAAAAAUAGAGAAAAACCAGAACCACAAAAUAUGUGCUAGAGACACACAAAUUUUAAUGUGGAAGACCCCUCAAUGUAAGACCAAAUAAAUAGCUUCAUUAUGAUCAACAAAGGGUACAAGAAGGUCUCCAACAAGUAUGCAAAAUGUUCAUACAAUCAACCAAAUCAAGUAAAGCACCAAUGCUUACAAAUAAGAAACAAAAGGAUGAAAAAGCCCAUAUAUAGAGAAGAAAACUACAAAGCACUAUCUCCAUCUCUAGACCUUGUUACAUCAAUCCAACCAAACAAAAUGAAGUAUCACAUGCUAAAUCUGUCGUCCAAAUAUUAGUCUGAUCCAACGGUUAAUGAAUCUGCACUUGCAAUCCGAAUAACAGUUGUCUGGUGGGUGUGAGAAAAUCUUUAUGUUUUUUCCUUUUGUCUUCUUUCCCAUUGUUUGCUGCAAUCUCACUCAGUAAAAUGAGCCUCCCUUCUUACCUUGACGUGACCCUUCUCCAUUAGGUUAAGUGAGACAUAAUGGACCAAUUUAUUUGGACUUUUCUUCACAUAAGAAGGGAGCCAAAAUCCAACAAGAAAGACUCAAGAUAUUUGUAAGUCCCACCAUAUUGGGGAAGCCUACAAAUACCUUGAAUAUUUCUCUUUCCAUCUGAAAAUUUUCAAUACUAAAGAGGAGCUAGACCCUUGUUAACUACCUUGGUCUUAAGACUCAAAUGCAUAUUAGAAUGACAAGUUUUAAUUGGAGAAAAGAAACUUAAAAAAUGUUUUCCAGUACUGAUUUUUGUUUUCUAAAUAUUGAGGUUGAUAAUAACUUUAUACUUGAAGGGUAUUUGACAGGCCGAAUGAUCAAAACUCCUUCUUCCUAAAGAAAGGCUACAUUCUGUAACAAGGCAAAGAGAUCUUGAGAACUUGACCAUGUCGAAUACUAGAAUACCUCGUAACAGGUAAAAAAAAAGGUAUGAAAAAUGAGGGGAUGAACCUCAAACCUUCUGUUGGCUAAACACCAAACACCAACACAUAUUCGGCCAACCGCAUAGUUGAGACCAUCACAAAAGAAUAAAUUCAACCAUUAGAGUGUCAUGAUCAAGAUUGUUCUAAUAGAUAAACAUCAUAACAAUAAUUAAUUAAAGACAGAUGAUGACUUGAAAUGAUAGUCAUGUAACAAGACCCUCAAGUUCAAGGUCCAAUAUGAUAUGUAUAAAUAAAAGUGGAAGAGAUUCUAGAAGUAAAGUUAAUUAUUUCUCAUUUAUUAUUUUCAUUUAUUUAUUGCCUAGGGUCAAGUCUUAACUUAAGAGUCUAAAUGCCUUUCGUAGGUAAAUCACCUCUAGGAGAACCUAGCAACUAGACACUUGGUAAGAAGACCUUAGAGCCCGAGAGAGAGAUAUUCAAAAGAAAAUUAUUUUGCUAUCAUUUGAUAGGUACAAACUUAAAACAUUUUUUUCCAAAAAGAAAACAUGAAUCUCCCAAUUAAGAUAGGAUAUGCAUAAUUAAGCUCUAAUUUGGCUACAUGCUAAUGUGUAUACAAUGAAGUAUAUAACAUUCUUUGAACUCAUAUAUAAGCAAAAAUAUGAUUUUAUGUAUCAAAUUUAAAUAUACGUAAAUCUAAUUAAUUUUAUCUUAUUUAAUAUUAUCAUUCUUAAAAUAUCAUUUAUUUAAUUUUAUUUUUAUUUUUUACUUGAGAUUAAAAAAAUUAAAAGAUAUCAAUUAAUUUUCUUAAAUAAUAUAAAAUUAAUUAUUUUAUUUAUAUAUAAGUAAGAGGAAAUACAACAUAGACUCAGAUGUCUGAGUUGAAACUAACUUUUAAUUAGUUAAUAAUGAUUAAGAAUACAAGAAUUGAUCUCUCAUGGUAAUCCGCAACGGUAAAAAUCUAUCUACAGCGUCUUUAACUCUUUACUGUUUGUGCUAACGUCCCAAUUUAUGUCCAAAUCCAUCUCAUUUUCUAACCAGAGGAAAAAAAAUGUACUCACACGUUCAUUAGUUCUUCUGUUGACGCGAAGAAAAAAUAAUUAUCCAUUGAAUUUACAAAAGAAUUUUAAGAAAAUAUUUUUUACACACAAAUCUUUAACAAAAUUCAAUAUAAAGUGAAUAAGCAAGCACUAGUUUAUUUAGGGGGCAACAUAUAAAACUAGUUUGUUUGAUUAAGCUUAUUUUUUAAAAUAAAGUAUUUUCUAAAUAAAAUAAACAAUUUUAUAAUUUUCUAAUGCGUUUGUCUGAAUAAUUUUUACGUAAAUAAAUAUUUUUUGUUUUUUAAAUAAAUUCAUUGAAUGAAUAUGUAUAUUACACACUGAAAUCAUAACAAUAUAAUAAAAGAGGAUAUCAAAAUUCCUCUUAUUUCUCACUAACACCUACAAUAAAUGGUUCAUUAUAUAAAUGCUGUAAGAUCUCUCUCUCUCUCUCUCUCUAUUAUACAUAGAUAAACUCAUAAUAAUCAUAAUAAUAAUAAAUUAAUAAUCAUCACUCGUAACGUAUUAUAAAAGCAGCAACAAUAGAUCUGAGUGUGCAGAACGAAUCAAUAAUCUUCACACAAGAUGGAUCCAUCAGAUUAUACUCAGUGCUUGAAGAUGGCGAGCAUUGACAACAGUACGGAAGCUCCAAUCAUGGCGACCGAGCUCGAAACGGCUCCGGCGGCCCCGGCAUCGGGUCCCGGCGCCGCCGCCGGAGGCAAGUCCUGAGCGGAGGCGGAGGCGGCGAAGAAAAGCGCCACAAGAAGAGCAACGGCGAAGGACUUGAAGGAAACUGCUUGAGAUGCCAUGACUAUAAUAAAACGUAGAGAGAAAGAGAAUGUAAAAUAGUAGUAGCAAAUUACUAACAGAUAAAAUUUCUCAAGGUGUUGAGAGAUUUUUUUACUUUUUUUCAGUUUGGUGUAAGAAAUGAGGGAGGGGGUGGGGGUAUUUAUAGUAUGGAGAAGAGGUGUGGGGCCCACCGAAACGUGGCGGGCGAGGGAACAUUGAAGUGUGUGAAUGAAUGAAUGGGUAUAGGGGUGAGUUUGGUUUGGUGAGAGAGAUGGGUUCGCUACGUUUUUGUGGUUGAUUUUUUUUUAGCGUUUUGGUAACGUGCUUAUUUAAUGUUUAAUUAAACAAACGAC